UUUUUGCAGGUUCUAUUCCGAGCUACGGCUUUGAUCCGUUUGUGGUCGUCACUCACUCCGAUGGAGGCCAGGGAGUAUUUGGUUACUGGGUCUACCCGAUGGGAGAUGGCUGCUCGGGUUAUCUUCAACCGGUUUGGAUGGCAGUCAUGUAAUAGGAUAGGCAAUUAGUUUUCCUAUCUUCUUUAGCCAGCCGGUUGUGGCAUUUUAUUUCUGGCUAGUCUGUGUGUCAAUAUGGGCUGCAUUUUCUUUGUUUGAUUUUGAGACUAUGGAACCUUGUAUGCACACUUUGCUGCUUUGGUUAAUAAGAGGGCCGUAUGCAUCAUUCUUGAUGCAGAGGCCGGGGUACCCCCCUUUUCGAAAAAAAAAGGUGAUCGAAGAACAGCAACCGUGCAACUGUGUGUAAAUCAAGUUGGGUUCUUUGUGAGAAAUUUUAACUAUAACGCAGGUGAAUGCAUAUCCAAUAAGAAAAGAAAAGAGAGUGUGCACAUGCGUUUGCACUUUACACUGGUACAUAUAGCUUCAUGUUAGUAAGGCAGAUCAGGUUCGCCAAUUAGGUUCGGGAAUGAAAAGUCGCAGCCUGUAAUUAUCUGUACUUUACACUGGUACAUAUUGUACAAGCGAAUUGCUCUCUGUAACAUGUAAUUAUCUGUUCCAUGGCGUGGUUGUCACCACGAAUUCAGAUUUCUUUUCUUAGGAAAUAAUUACUACUCUAAAUCAUAUAACGUUUGGUCACCCUAUGAGACAAUCGCUACUCCAAAUCAUGCAUAAAUAGUCACGGCCUGUUGUUUUAGUUGCUCAAAAAACUUGCUACAGCAAGAAAUUUUGUUCAUCCAGGCUGUGCUGCCAGUUUACCAUUUUAUCAAUUGAUGUUAGGUACCCCUUUUCAUCACGAGUAUAGGCCAUGGUAGCCUGCUUUUCAAGAUAUUUAAGUUCUGAUGCUACAAAAUUCACAUUCACGAGAUGGGGUGUGGACAACUUCCAAUCCUUAUCCCUUUAGUUUUAUGCUACUCCAAUUGUAUCUGGCACAAUUUGAUACAUCACACGGUCUAGUGUGCAUUGAAACAGUAGUUACAGAGUUUGGCCUCUCUGUCUUGUUUCUGUGUAUACUUCUGAUUCAGACCUGCAACUAGCGUGUUCGUGUGAUUCCGAUGAAUUUGGUACAUUCAAACUUCCAUUAGGAUUUCUAUGAUUUUGGUAUUAUUCCCAGUUUAAGGUAGUGAAGCCUCACGUAACUCUGAGUGUUAUAUGUUCUUGUGUGUUGGCAGCCUUUACCUUUUUGUUGGUAUGCAUCUAGCAACUGAAAAAAAUAUGUUAUUUUCAGGUGUCUAUUCAAGUGGAUGUGAAUGUUUCAUCCGCUGGAGAGAUUGUUGGACAGAUGAAAUUGCUGGGAAAUCUUUGGCCACCAGCAGGUUAAGCUGCUUGAAGACCAAGUUCAAAACAUGUACGAUGGCAGUGUUGCGCCUCUGAGUCUCUUUGCACCCUGAUGUAAUUAGUCCGGUAGUAUUCAGUUCUGUAGUGAUUAUUUCCGAAUUUUUCCUGCUGCUGGUUAUCGAGUUUAAUUGACAUUCAGUGUUCUCCAAAGGAACUUUAUUUGUACUACUAGUCGGGAUGAUUUUUAUUACGUUAGACAUAUCCCGGAACCAUCGCUUACUCUUCUACAUUGAAUGUAUUUAUUACGUAUGUGGCUUUGCUAUUGCUAGGCCAUGUCGUUGAUUAUAUGAUUUUACGGCCAUCAGCCUAGUUCUUACAUUGGCUCUCAAAUUCUGUACAUCAAUGCCUCUCACGGUUUGUUUUUAGAUUGGUUCCAUAAUCUGUACGUUGGCCGUUUCUGAAAUUUCUUAAGCUGGUGCUUGCAGAAACAGUCUGUGUACCGAAUAAAUUAGUGGACCAUUUCUUACAGUGAGCAAAAUUGCCGUGUACAGAACAAUUAGUGGACUAGGUCGAGAAUGACCAUUAAUAGAUCUAGCAAAAAUACCUGCGAUAAAGGAAUGCAGCCUUAUGUUCUGGAAAAAUAGAAUGCAGCAUUAUCCUAUAAAAAACAGGAACACAACCCCAUUGGUUGCCGUAAAAUUACAGUACCAUCUUUUCAUUUUUUAUAGUUCAAUUUAGUUGCGCCAUAGUGGCUUUGAUGACCAGGCCGUAGCUUACAUGCAUGCAUUCUGUAAGAUUACCUUGCCCCCUUCUGUACGUGAGAGACCGGCUUCUUUCUUCUCACCUUAAUCUUAUCUCAAGUGUUUGUGGGGAUUGGACUGGGAAUUCCUCACCCAGGGAUGUAUUUUUCCUAUAUAGGACAAAUUUUAUCUACAAGCAGUGGUAGUUACCUCCUAAUUAUCCAUCGUCGAUGUGCAACAGGACAGAUCGGGUUUGCGGGCGCGCAUGAAUCUGUUAUUCGCAUGCAACCUAGUUUUUUAAUUAAAUAAUCCGGCCGAUUUACCAGCUAGUUUAAACAACCCACUUGAUUGUCGCUGCAUGCAUGCCUGUUGCAUGCGCUAGUCCGUUCGAUCCAUAGUAGUAUCAUUUUUUUAUAGAAUCUAUAGAGUAGUAUGUUGACACGUUAACUGGAUUAACACGUCUUGGAAUUAUGUGUAUGUCUACUAGCUUAGAGUGCUGUUGGCCGGCCAUGGUACCGAAAUAUGCAUGUUUAACAGAGAAUUUUCAAGUUAUUAGUUAAAGGGAUUAAUGAAGAGAUGAGUAUAUUCAUCUAAUCUCAGGAGUAUAUGAAUCUAAAAAGGAGUAUAUCACAAAAAAGGAAGUUGAAAAGGGAGUAUUUUUCAUACUAUCAUACUCCCUUAGUUUCAUAUAGUAUGUAGUAUAUCACAUCACGCAAAAAAUGUAUGUAGUAUAUCACUGAACAUUUUUUUCUAGAAAGAUAGUAUCGAGUAUAUAUGAACUAAGGUAGUAUGGAGUUCAUAUAGUAUGUAGUAUAUCGCUGAACAAUUUUUCUAGAAAGGUAGUAUAUGACCGAAAUGGAGUAUGAAGUAUCUUUUUUUAAUAGUGCGAAGUAUAUUUCUAGAAAGGUAGUAUGGAGUAUAUAAACAAGAAUGGUACUCCCUCCUUCCAUCUAUAUAGGGCCUAAUGCGUUUUUUAAGGUUAACUUUGAUCAAAUGUUAGAGCAAUAAUAUAUGACAUGCAACUUACACAAAGCAUACCAUCAAAUUCGUAUGUGAAAGUAGAUUUCAAUGAUAUAUUUUUCACAUUAUGCAUGUCAUGUACUAUUAAUCUUGUCAAUAGUCAAAGACGGUCUUGAAAAAAGCAUUAGGCCCUAUAUAGAUGGAAUGAGGGAGUAUGGAGUAUGUCGACAAAAACAAGAGAGUUUUUCUUUUAAUUAAGUUGCAAAAAUAUAAAACUAUAGGAUUAACAUACUCCCUCCGUCUCAAAAAAAUGUUUCAAUCUUAAUACAACUUUGUACUAGAGUUAGUACAAAGUUGAGACACUUAUUUUGGGACGGAAGAAGUAGUAUAUUUUAUCAUUCAUGUGUACACAUCAUGUAUAUGUAUAUAUACCUCAACUUGAAGUAUGUUGUAUGUAAACCGUCCUAAAAGAAUACUCCGAACACCAUUCUAGUGACCAUACAGGUAUUGUCAUCAUAGGCUACAAUCAGUACAUUUUACUAACAUGAACGAUAGUGGAGUCCAAUGAUCGAUUGUAUCUAUACAAUCCUGGCCGCCGGCCUGCUGAUAUACACAAGGCAAAACGAACUAGUUCUACUAAGGACAAGCCAUGGAGAUUUAGAGCGUGCAAAACAUCUAGCUAGAUACUCAUGAUACGUAUGCAUGUCUUGUAGCCAUUGUUGCCGCUGGAUUAUGGGGUAGCAGAUCAGGUAUGUAUGGACGCGGUUUUUGUCCUUCGCGUUCCAUUCAUAGCGGCAAUCCAGUCCGCUAGCGCUAGCAUGUGGAUUCGCGUUGCAUGUCGGCCAGGAUAGAGUCGGACCGAUGACCGCUCUCGUAUUCAUCUGUAUCUCAAUUUAUCACCCCUCCACUCCCACCGUAUUCCACAGUAACGGGCCCCCCUUCCCUGCCCCCACCACCACACUACCCCCUUCUUCCUCAUUUGUCUCUAGCAAAAUAGAGCAUUGACCACGAGCUGUUCUUUCUCAGCGUCAAUGGCGCCUAGGAAUGGCUACACAGGAGAAGGAGGGAGCUCAGUCAUAUCCACGGAUCUAAGCCAUGGCAGUGUUGAAUCAGGCGAAUCUCUUCAGGUUAUGUUUGCUCCCCUCUCUUUUCCCACUCCCCCCUUUUUCUUUUGGUCAGAUCCGCUUCUUCUUAACCUCUUUUCAUCUUCUGAUCUGCAGCCCGUCCAACCUACGGCCGAUGUACCUCCAGAAGAGAUUCCGGAUCCAGAGUUCUUUAGCAUAGAUACUUCCUCUCCACAUAGGUGCCAUCACGAAAUGCGUCUAGCAAGAAAAGUGGCUUUCGUCUACGCGGCCACAGGCAGGAGGUUCCUUGGAUGCCCUCUCUCGGUGAGCAUUUAGUAUCUGAUUCAAUUAUCUAAUUUUUUGCAUUUCAGUUUGCAGACAUUCAAAUUUCUUCUAUAUCAUCCCAAUUUUAUCUGUAUGCAGGGACCUGAUAGGUGCUCCUGGUUCAUGUGGAUAGAUGAAGCAUGGGGUCCUGUACUUAGCCGUUCAUUAAUACAACUCUGGGAUCAGGCUCUCCUGGACUCUGGAAGAGCAGCAAGGUUGCAGACAAAGAAAAAGGAAAUGGAGCAAGCAUACUUAGAGUUGUGGACUGAGAGGAGCAAUAUGGAGAUUGAAAACUAGCAGGUGGUCAACAAGUUGAAGACCACAAUACUCGACACUGAGAUUAAGAUGUCAAGGAGGUUGGAAUUUCACACUAAGAUGUGUGGCAUUUAUUUCUUCAGCUGUUACCCUUGCUUCAGUGCUCGCUUAUGUGCUGUCUGCACACUAGUGUAGUUUGUUGGUGAUCAUGUAUGUGCUGAAUUAGGAUGUUUCGCCACAUUGUAUGACCAUUAAGUUACACCGGUAUGUUUUAUUCUGUAUGUGCCAACUGAGUUCUAGUUUGCAGAGCCCGAAUUAAGUUGUUAUUUAUCCCUAAAUAUUUUAUUAUUACCUCCCUUGGCAAGAUCACUCAUGUUCGGUUUUGUUUCUAUUGGCCGCGUGCAAGAAUUGUUUUCCAUUGAAAGUGUUGCAUAUUAGAGCUGCAAAAGUACUCUUGCGAAAAAGCAAGAAGUUUGUUAAGUUCUUCAGAUGAUACAUAUAAAGUUCCAUAGGCAUUUCUUCAAUUUUUACGCUGUGAUAAGUAUAUAGUUUGUUGCUUCCUGUCAUCAGUACCCAUUUUCAAACAAAUCACUAGAGUUAUCCUUUUUUUAAUAUUCCAACUACGAUGGUGCUUAUGCAAUGCAUAUUUUUCUGUUUAAUCGAGGAUGUUUUCCGAAGUCGCAUAUGUACUGAGGGGGAAACGGUUCAUUCUCUUUCCCAACUAGGUUAGCCGAAGACCACUGCCAACAUAUAGUGUACUGUUUCCAAUUAUGAAGUUUGGUCGCAUUAUACCUAUGCUUCAUUUGGAUCAUGCAAAUAUCCGUGGCAAAACAAAGGAUUCGACCUCAGGGUCAUAUUCACUGUAAACCUCAUGAUUAAGAAGGUACUCCUCUCUUCCCUUUAUAAAACCAUCAAUCAAACGCAUUCCCAGUACUUUAACAAUGUUGUAUCAACAUAUUCAAGUUAGUUGCCUAUUUCCCAGAAAAAGUGAUUAAUCAGAUCGUGAACUUAUUCCAUUGGUCCUAAUGACCAGGGGCGGUGCCAGCUAUCUGGCAUGGUUUGGCUGCUGCAACACCUACAAUUUACUGUAAAAAUACCUAGUACACUGCUUCCAAAUUUACAAAUUUAAAAUCGCUUAGGUUCAGUUCCUGUUUGGCUUUGUUGGUGGAUUUGAUGAAUUUUUAUGUAGGGUCAGUGAUCUCAUGACUGUAGGGCUCUACACCGACUAGUCAGCUUGAUAAAUUGGUCGGAGACUUGCAAGUUGUUGCUUUACUCCAUAGACGAGCAAAAACAUAAAUAUACUAUCCGGACCGCUAUGUCACUAUUGCCAAAAUACUAGAAAGUCGAAACCCUCGUGAAGUUUUGAUCAUUCAUGGAGGCGGCAAGGCACGCAGUAGAAGACAUUGAACUGAUAGCGGCUACCGUUGGUGAUCAGUCUGGGCCAGACAGUGAGGACUCUAGGGUCCAAGGACAACUAGGCUAGUGUGUCACACUGAUAAUUAUAUAUGGGUUCCACCUUUAUAGACUCCGCCAUAUCUACAAUUUAUUUCUGCCUUCUGAACUGCUAAUCACCCCUGCUAUUAUGUGGUAUUUUGAAUGAUGCCACAUUGGUCCGUAUGCGAAACAAUUAAGUGAGAACAGCUUGCAAAUUUAAUAAAUUAACAUGUUCACCAAGUGAAAGCAAAUUAAUUCUGAUCACAUCAUAGUUUUAAAGACCGAAUAGUUUGGGAAGUUCUAUGAAUUCUCUUCCGAGGCUAAACAAACAUUCAAUUCAAGUAGUCCAUCCACUCCCGGCAAAAUAACUUGUUCAUAUUGUCCUUCUUGCGAACAAGUCAAUCCUUGAUCUUGUCGUUCUUGCUAAUAAGGCAAUCCUUGUACCUCGCAGGCAGAUGACCAAUGUUACCUUCAGAACCAAGCAAGUCCACAAGCAUGUUCAUCCUAGCAUGCAUGACACCGUCACCCUGCGUUUGUUAAAAAAUUAGUUAUAGGUCGCAAAUCAACAUGCUAACCCACUUGUUCUGCAAGCAUCUUCAUUGUUGGAAAUUCCUUACCGGGUUCAUGUCCCUUUUCAGUUUAGUUCCCAUCCAAUUCCUUCCAAAGUGAGUAGCAUAUAUGUCCGUGUCUUCCCUGAAAAUCAUGUCAAAUUCAGAAUGUCAGUAACUAUGCUUAUGAAUAGACACGAUUACAUAAAGUAAGCAUUAUUCACACAACAAAUCAUUAUUUUCUGCAUAUCCCUGUUGCCAGGCCCCUUGGGAAGCAUGUAUUCCACGACCUCAUGUCUGGCUCCCAUCCAGAGAAGAAUGACUUUAUGCAUAUCUCUAUAGCCUUGUGAAGCUCGUCUGCAACCUUCCUGUGCCUGAGCUGAAUUACCUUAUCAGACUCGUCACCAUUGUUCAUUGUUGGGUCGAGGACAAAAAUCUUCGCCCUUGGAAAGUCCCAUAUGUAUGUAGACCAUUUGAAGUCGAACUUAACUAGCAACACAACCUGUUAAUUGGAAAAAAGGCACUGGAGUUUAUUAAAUAAACAUUAUUUAUCAAAUCUUUUAAAUCACUUUUGUCUUUUUAAAAGGUCACCUCGGUGCACUUGUGAACCUCGUAAGUGAUAUGCGGCCCCACGAACAUGUCCUUGAUGUACCUCAGCUUUGAAAUGUUGUCUCCUCUGCUAACAUGGUUCUGCAUGUUUCGAAUUUAUGAGUAACACUUAGCUGAAGCAUGGAAUUUUUUGUAUUGAUCAAUGAUUUCAACUGAAGUUCCUCACCACAAAAUCUGGCUCCAGCCAAUGUCACCAACAUCCUUCCCCUUUUGUAGCAGCAAAGACCGCAUCCAUCUGUUGGUACCUUCUCAUCACCAAUGUCAUCAGCACACUAUCCACCUCACCACCAUCGCGUAGCAUCUCACGGAGCCGCUCCCCACUGAUGUCCAUGUAUUUUGGGUUGAUGCUGAUAAUCCACAUGCUGCACAGUUGAAAUAGAACAUAUUGCGGUCAACAAACUAGGCUUUACCAAUGGUAAGGAUGAAAAACGAACUCGAACUAUGGUUUUUUCCUGCUGAGAGCUUACUCUUUUAGCUUGUUCGCGUUCUCCCUAUAGAAUAGCUUGUAUAUCUGCACUACAUUCGCUGGAGCUCUAGUAGGAGGGUCAUUACCCAUUACAAAGGGAGACCUUGCAUAUUUCCCAGGCCUCACCACCCUCUUUGGCUGAGGCUGUGUGCUAAAUGAUCCCUGUGACAUAGUGACGUUGAGGUUGAUAGCCGCCUCCUCUAUCUCCUCCCUAAUGUCAAGCUCGACAGCAGACAUCUGGCGGUUGAGGCUAACUGGAGAAGUCCUUGAAGAUGUACCUGCAAACAUUUGGUUUGGUGCUGGAGUGGCAACAAUCUGCAUUCCUCAAUCUGCAUGGCGAACACGGCAAGGUUAGCACGCAGGUCAUGACCUAACUGUAUUAGCUGUAUCUAUUAACAUUUAACCCCAGCUGGUAAAAGAAUCACGGUUACCUUCAGGAGUUUGCAUCUUGGUUGCUGCAGAACCAGGCGUGAUGUUUGCGGAAGCAACCGACACGCCUGAAACAAGUUAGUAAAUAAUGAAUUAGCUUCCCGAUUCAUUAUUUUUCAGUCACAAAGGAUGAUCCAUCAUACUGAUUUUAAACCAUACCGUUGGACGUUGAAACGGCUGUAAAAGCAUUCAUCAAGGCCGUCUUCCUAAGACCUGACAUUACAACUUUGAACUUCCCAUGCAUCUCUGGAGGAUCUAUUGAUAAACAUCCACCUAAGUCAUCAUCCUGUCCUGAAGAAACUAUUGACAAUUGAUUCUUGUCAACACCAUCCUUUUGGUUCUCUGCAGCUUCAUCAGUUCCUGUUGCUAUUUUUGGAGAGCAUAUAACUUCAUUUCUUGCCGCCCCACACACCACUGACAUCUCCAAGUUGUUCCCUGUAGUAUUGUCCAACAGCCCUGUCGCAUUGCCAACAAUCCCACUGCGCAACCUACUGUAUUCAUCUGCUGCUUCAAUCAGAUCAUCUAUUGCUUUGUUUGCUUCUUCUUGAGCACCUUCAGAUUCUUCAGAGCUCUCUAUCCUUGCCCUCUUCGGUGUGUGCCUCCUUGAUGUAACAACCUUCUUUCUUUUCACACCUAAUUUGCUCUUUGCCAAUGGUUCCACGUUAGCGGAAGCUCCCUCUGCCGACUCUAUGCUUAGUGCAUUCUCUGCAUCCCCUUGAACCCCUUGAACAUCUGAGAAAUUACACAACAAACGGGUUAGACAGUUGACAGUUUUUAUUCUAAGAACAAACAUAAUUCUAUUUCUUGUGAAUUACAAUACCUGCUUGGGUUGAAUAAUUGGGCCUCUGCUUUCGUGCCCUCAUUGCAUCAGUUAUCUGGUUGAUGUCUGCAAUUAUCUUCUUAGUUUCUGAGAGUAUUAACCCGUUAGUAUCAUUGACAAUCUCAUCCCAUCCUUCUGCGUGUCUCUUGUUUAAUCUUGCUCCCUUCCUUGAUGCCUCAUUUACAGCUGUCUUGCACUUGUUGGAGUACUGCUCGACCUUGUUGAUAAUAAUACCUGCAAACUGAAUUUUAUCAAAGUUUACCCAAUAAAUGAUGUCAGUUUAUGUUCCAUAUAUUACUUACUCAUCAAUAUAUUUGACCUAUAUCAAAACUUACAUUUGUGAACACUUUAUCACCCCCAAUUCCCUCUGUGCUGCACCCAAUCCCGUAUCCAUCAGUUGUUUUCUGAGUUGUUGUUGCCAUGGUAUUACGGCUGUAGCGUACUGUCCCCGGAUGCCUUGGCUGUAAAUAUUUAUCCAGAAAGGUUUCAUCAUUGCAAAGCAAUAGGCAAAGGUGACUUAUCUAUAUAAACAUACCAGACAGAGUAAAAGCAAAUGGGAACCAUGCUAGUACGAAUAUGACAUAAGCAUCAAGUCAUCUCAUAGUUAGAUAUGCUAGCAACGCGGCCAUUUGUAACAGCUCAAUCAAUAGGUAUACCACACAUGUCCUACUAACACAAUAUCCUUUCCAUCACAAGAUUAUUUUACUAUACUUGUUUUGUAUCUUAACUUACCAGUAGGUGUCCAUACACUACAAUCUCUGCAUCUUUCCCAGUUGUCGUGUCUUCAUCAAUAACAUCAGAGAUAGUCUUCUAUGAGUAUUCCUUGCACCUAGGGAACACAUCGUGGGGCAGGUUCUUAUCUUCUCGUUCGAGAUUGUCAAGAUAGAAAACCUGUGACAUGAAACAAAUUUGUGAUUAAUUGUUUCGUCACAAGUUGAAUCCGAAGCAAUGACAUUCGCUCAAACCUGCAAGAAGAACGUGCAUCCAGUGAGAUUUGACUUCAGUUUCCCACCUAGCAGUUCAGACUUCACCCUACCAGCAGAAGAAAGGAGCUCUUCUCUAAUGUACCGUCCCCAAUUGAACAUUUGAACCAUAUCAGGUAUGUGCAAGGCAUUCCAAUAAUCUGUCAUGAAAUAGUUGUGCUUCAGCGGAGGUGCCAGGAGGAAAGUCAUCGCGCAAAUUGUGAAGGCAACCUUGAACUUGUCUGCUUCAGCCUUUGUCAUAGCUCUGCCAUACCGAAUCUUCACUAUGUUAACUAUGGGUGUGAUCUUUUUUUCUCCAUUGCCGAUUCCUAAGAUCUCACGUACAGUACCUGCCACGUGCGGCGGUGCAUUCUUGUUAACAGGAGAUCCUACUGAUGGCACCCCCAGUACCUUGCCGACGUCUCCGUCGUCGAAAGGUAAUUCUCUCCUAGCAUCAAUUAUGAUAGCAGAUGCCUUCUCGUCAACUUUGCUCAUAAGCCACAUGGAUUGUUGCCUGUUUGCCUUAUUGCUGGUAAUUCCAAUAGUCCUUCGAACCCCAUCUCACGUACCAGAGCCUUUUUUUCUUCAGACAGCCCAUCAAUCAAGGCCUUCAUCUUUUUUAUGCUGCUCCUUGAAUUUAUUGGGUUUUGUGAUGCCUUCUUCUUGCCCUUUCUAGCGCCAUCUGACUCUAACUCUUCUGGUGUACCGAUGUGUUGUGUAGGAUACACAUCGAACCCUUCUGAUGAUUCCUCAUCGGAUUGCUUGUAAUCAGAUGAGGACGAACCAGACACCAUUUUCUGCGAUGUAUUUAGAAACAAAGUCAGGCGACAUAUAUAAUAUAUAUCACGAUUAAAAAAAGAUGGUCAUCAUUGUUGUAUGAACCUAGAAAUAAUUAUCAGUUUGUCAAUCUCUACAGACAUCAUAAUAUUUCCCCCAAUUGUACACUCACAACAAUACAGUCAACAUAGUAAGAAUGAUUUUCUAAUCUAAACCAUUACCAAUCCUUCUAAGUUUCCUUACAGCCGACGGACCUCUAAAAAAUCUUUAAUCCCACUGUGUAUAAAUACUGAAUAUACAAGCCAUACUAUAGAAUGCAGAUCGACACAAAAUUAAGUCCACGGAUAUUGUAUUCUGUUAACAUGUCCUCUCUUGUUAAGCAGUCAUUCUCAUGUUUUCACAUUUCUUCCAGACAAAAUAGCUUUUUUAUGUUAAGUUCCAGCUAAGAAUUCAUUUGUGUGCAGAUAUAAAAAAUGGACACUAAAGCUCCCUAUUUUUAGAUCAUUUUCCAAAAGCUUACUACUGAUAUGUUGACCCCCACCAUGCAUAUUUUCUUUAUAUAUGUAUCGUUUUACUGUUUUCUGAUGCAAACCAUUAACACUUAUGAAUUGUAACACUUUGAUACCGCUAUUAUUAUCACAGAAUCUAAUGGGAGUUCUCUUCAACAUUAGGUAUAUAACAUCCAUGACAUGCAUCGGGUAUCUCAGGUUAGAGUUAAAAAAACUCCAUGCCGUGCAUCAGGUAUUCACAACUUCCAUAAAGAUGUAUCAGGUAUCUCUAAUCUUACCCUAAAUAUCCCAUACCAAACAAUUGCAAACAAUCAAGAACAAGAAAAACUACUUGCGUUUGGAAAUGCCACAGAAACCAAACUACUAAAAUGAUAAAUAUGUUGUUGAAGAUCCAAUCAUCAGGGAGGAAAUCAACAAACACUGCCCAACUCGAACAACGAACAUGUGGUAUCUUUUUUCCAGUAGAACCAGUGAGGAGCUCCUAGUUCUUCAUCCUUGGGGAGAAGGAGCUCCUGGUUCUUCAUGUUUUUGGGGAAGGAGCUCCUAGUCCUUCAUCCUUGUUUUGAAGGAGCUCCUAGUUCUUCAUCCAGGGUGGGAAGGAGAUCCUAUUUCUUCAGCCUUGGGGAGAAUGAGAGAGGAGCACCAAAUGCGAAUGAAUGUAUGACAAUGGACUCUACCCUCUCACAGCUCUUCCCUUCAACAAGUGUUAGGUUCUAGGUGUCUAGACAAGUGUUUGGAAUCUUUUUGUACAUGACACACAGCUACCCGCCCUUGGCUUCCAAAAAGCCCUUGAAAUCUGAGCCACAGUAGAUUCAGUUACAAAUGACUAUUUCACCCUCCUGCAGAAAGCACGCUAAAUUUUAUUAAUAGUUUAUGAAGCAACUGUACUCAAUCUGCUGAGCUCAAAACAUUGGGUUAUUAUCUUUUUUUCCAAUUGUAUUAAUUAUCUAAGCCACUAAAUGCCAUAUGAAACGUGGAUCCAUUAAGGUUCAUAUUUUGGUAUAGUUGUACAGUAUUAAACCACCUUGUUUCUAACGGUCAAAUACAGCCAGAAUGAAAUGUACAGUUGUUUGGUGUUCAGAUAGAACAUCCAAACAAGACUGUAUACUACAACGGUUGGCACACACAAACGAAAGGUUCUGCAUUGAUGGCAUUCAGGUACAUUAAUUGUUGAAUAUUAAGUGCAUAUGUAAAAGGCAUACUCCUUGGUUCACUGCCAGCUUCCCCGAACUUCUUUGAUCUUAUUAGGUUCUUCGGCACAUGAAUAUUAAGUUCAUUAGUACAAAAAAAUUGCACCUUCAUGAAAUGUGUUCCUUUUUCGUCAUCCAUAGAUCCCUAGGGCGUGGCUACACUUGUGCAAAAUGAAAACAUGCAUGACGGGUACAAAAAUAACUUGGUGGGUGACCAGGAAAUGUAGAAUGCAAGGAAUACAAAUUCUUGAUAGUUCAACACCAUCCACUUAACUAAAAGCCCGACAUUUAAAUCUACUGCUUACUUGACACUACUAGCAUUGAAGCAUUUCUUAAGAAGACGAAUGAUGCCGGUCCUAAGACUCACACUAAUGAUAAGGUUGCAAAUAUAACUAAAGGAAGGUACUUUCCUGGUUUGCUAACCCAUUUGUUCCCACUUAAUCUGAACCAACUAUUCAUUUCCCAACCCAAGCAGCCCCGAUUGCGAUCAUGGCUGCCACUGGCACGGUGGACGCGAGUGCAAGUUGUAGCACCUUGUUCAUCGUCCUGAGGUUCCUGAUCUCCCUGUUCCUAUCAGCCAUUUCCUCGAUGAACUCGUCUCGGUCUUCUGUCACCUCCCGCAGCUUCACUCGUUCAGCUUGGAUUCUCUUUUGCAUGUAUUCCUCCAGUACAUCCUCCCACACGUAGACCUCGCACGCUCUCCUCUGAACCUGUACAUAAAAAUCAAGAAACAAGAGCAAAAGAAUCUUUAGCUAGUGCAGGUACUGAACUGAAUCUGCUACAUUUUGUAUUAUCUAUAUAUUCUUACCCCAUAGUUCACGCAGCUGAAGUAGAACUUGUCCUGCCUCGCCACCGCAGAUCCAGCUUUCCUGGCGCAUGGCAUGCCGCAUGCACAUCGAAGUAUCGGAUUUCCAGUCGACAUGUUCUUGCAGAAGAAGUGUUUGUUCUUGCAGAAGAAGUGUUGUGCCGAUUCAUGUUCCAUUCCACUCGUAUGUAUAGACCUUGAAUUUAUUGUAUGCAGCUGUCUACAACCAACCAUAGUACGCAUGCUUUCGGCGCUACUGAAGGGGGCAGUGUCCGGGUCGUGCCCAUACGGUGUGCCGAUCGAACAAUAAAGUUGUGAGGUCAAAUCGACCUUAUCUCUAUUGCAUCGUUGUUUGAGAGGAGUGCAUGGUCGACUGGUCAUUUUGACUCACCCGUGAGCUGUGCAACACUCUGGAUAGUAGGGCAUGGGCGACAUGGCGUUGUACCACUCCUCCCUAAUUGAUGCAUGUUUUCUGUUAUUUUAAUACGUCCACUUUCCCUCCUCAUCUACUCCACGGCAUACACUCCCUCUUCACAUGAAUUGGUUAAUCAACAAUUCUCCAUUGGGAGAGCCUUAAACUCGUCAUUGGUAUCUCAGAGUCAGUUUGCCCCAUUUUCAUAUCAACACUGGAAAAAAAACUAUUUUCCUUAACCGUGUAUCCCACUGAGAAACAAGUCAAAAAAACUGCAUUAUCGUUCGGAUAACGCCUCCCUUGGAUCCCUCCUGCCCAGCUCCCACCUACAUGUCAAAUCAACUUAAACUGCUGCCCUGCUUGAACUCUCUAUACGCUAGUACCUCAAAGUUGUAUAUAACUCAACCAUCCCUACCUCGUUCUCCUACACACCAACGUCAUGGAUCACAAUGCCGACGAGACGGAUGCUCUGUUCACCGGCGAAGCCAUGAUUGUUCCCCCCGCACGCUCAACUGCCACUACCGUCAUCCCCGUGAGUAUUGCCACCGGCCUUUGCUUUCAAACUGGCAUUGCAGAAAUCAUUGAUAUUUUGUUAAACCAUAUUAAAUGUAUAGGCUCAUCCAUCCACUCUCAGGCCUAUGACAAUUAAGCAGUUGUAUGAUGGAUUCCUGGAGGACAUAGAGCGUUACCCUAUCGUAGUUGACGGAGACACCGUGUCAUCAGUGAGUCUAUAUAUAAAAUCAUUUAGAUUUUCAAAAACCAUCCACUAGCUGUUCUUAAUAUAUGUCUUCAUUUGAUAGGUGAUCCUGAUAGGAACUGUUUCACACUCUACUGUUCGAAUGAAUCACUGGUCCUUCGAUCUACAGGAUGCCACAGGGUUAAUCAACAUAUCUUUCUGGUACUAAUUUCAUCGUCAGUAAACUCCUUGUAUCCAAAGAACUUCAGAAACAAUGCAUUUAACCUUUUGCUCCAUUUUUUUUGUUCUUCUGUCAGGCCGGAAACAACUUCCGACUUUAAACUUGCUUGGUCAUCAAGGUCUGAUUUAUGUAUUAAGAUAAAAAUAAUAAUUUGCAGUCCUAGUUUUUCAACUAGUUGGUCAACAAGCCCACUGUUUCAAUUGUUACAUCUUAUUUGCAGCAAUGGCGACUAUGUUCAACUAUUUGGCAAACCUGCCAUGAAUGACAGAUUCCUUUAGAUUAAAGCUUUCAAGAUCAGGUUAUUUUAAACCGCAUCUUUUUUCUGUGUCAUAAAUUUUUCACAUAUAACAUUCUUUUUUACACAUAGCCAUACAUUUUAAAAAUAUUGCAGGUUAAUCGAAAACUACAAUGACACCACGCACCACUACUUGUAUACCAUACACACCACAUUAGACAUUCGUAAGAGAAACACCCACAAGGUAAUUCUUCGUGUUUUUUGUAAAAUGUACCUAAAUGAUACAUACAUUCUUUCUCACAUACAUUACCUCUCAUAGGCAAGAAUGGAACCUGACUCCACAGCAUCAACUGUUUUCCCAAAGGGGCCGUCAAUUACCCCGUCGGAGGUGCCCUUGCAUUCGUCAACAAAGGACAAGAUAUUUGCCAUCCUGCGAGACCCAGCUUACCGGUAAGUACUGUAUGGCUGGUACAUAAAGUUCUUUGAUUAUUACGAAAGCUAAAUGCAAUAUCCUGAACUAAGUUCCUUUGACCAUUAAACAUGUAUAUCCACAAAUCUCACAAAUAACAUAUAGGUCCUCGUGCCAUGCAGGACCAACAGUUAAAACAUAAAGUUCCAUGAUCCAUCCAAAGGAUAACUCCAUUUUUUUCUCUCAUUUGCCCUAACACAGCGAUAUUCAGCAUGGCGUUAGCUUGAAGUUAAUCCGUAGUGCACUGGACAUCAGCCAGGACGAGAUAAUGUAAGACAUCACAUCAUUAAAUUCAUUUAGCCUAUUUCCUUAUUCAACUUAUAGUUGACACAUUUUCCAAUUACAACUUGGCAUAAUUAACCAGGCAAGUCAUUACAGAGCAAAUCUACAUUGGGAUGAUAUACACAACUGUUGAUGACAACCACUUCAAGUCCUCCAUCUGAAUUGGUCAAUUAUCCCUGUGUUAAUUAUUAGAGCUAAAUAAUGUACUUGAGUGUCAGACAUUUAUGGUUAAGCCAUUAUGUGGAUUUUCAGUUAGACCUAUCAUGAUUGUAAUAUUUAUUUCAUCACUUUAGCAAUUCUCUCAGUUAUUUUAUUAUGUGGUUUCCCUUUCCCAAUUCUCUCGGUUAUUUUAUUAUAUGUGGUGUCCCACAUCAACACUUUAUUAUCUGGUGUGCCAUAUCAACACCUUUUUCCUGGCGCACCUGCUGGAUAGGUGCCAGUGUGCCACCCUUACACCCCAUACCACUCUUCUUCCCCAAACUAACAUCUGUCGUUCUCUAUCCACCAUGGACAUUGACCAGAUAGAUUUUUCAUCUAGCUUAGAUAACAAUAUUUUGAGUGAGAUUUUCAUCAGGCUAGGAUGCACUAGAUCCCUUGUUCGUAGUUCUGUAGUGAGUCCUAGAUGGUUUGAGAUCUGUACCUCCCAGCAGUUCAUCAUGGAGUAUGCUCGCCGCAAUGCUCCAGCCGUCCUCGGAUUCAUUGCUGCAUUCGAGCGCCUCUUCGAGCUGCACGUACGUCUUGUGGAUGUCGUUGCUUCCCCUCCUGAUCCAGGACAAGCUGCUCUGCUUGCUAGGGUUGACGUGGCAACCUUUGCCAUGGAGAACAUCCUUGCAUCUGAAGCAGGUGAGUUGCUCGUCUUGGUCAGAGGUCUCGACGGCGGGUUCUUCUCUGUCUGUCCAAAUCCUCCAUUUUCUCGGUCAUUCUUAGCCCCUAGAAUGCCUAGAGUCCCCCUGUUCCAACAUCAGCACACCCCUAAUUUAUAUGGUCAAUUUGGUGUCAUUCUCAUUGACAGCAGGCCUAAUUUUUCGUUCUUCGUUAAGCAAGCAGCAGGCCCUUUUGUCCGUUCUUAUUCUGGUUUGAGUUUCAGUUCAGUUGCUGACCUAUAUGUCCAUGUUUGCAUCCUAAAAAACAACGAAUGGUCACGCUUUGUUUCCCCACCGCUUCGAACUCCUCCUGGUAAUGAUGGACCAUUGUUCCAUUGGGAUCCAUACUAUCUCCUAGUUGGUUCCAAUCUAUACAUGAUGUAUGUGGUAGGAUUUGUGGUUUGCUUCAACAUAGAUACUUUUGUCUUCUCCACUGUCCAGUUCCCUGUAAGUGUCACUUCCUGCUUUGAUUACCACAUCUCUAGGAGCAGUUCAGGUAUCAUAUCAUUUGUUCACAGUGACAAUCUAUCACUUCGCACAUGGAGAUUAUCAUCACGAGAGCAUGAAGAAACAGCAUGGUUUCCUAUGUCAGAGAUAAACCUUGCAUCAUCCUUUGGAAGCCGAUGUCAGCAUCCCAUGUGGCGUCAAUUAUUCCUUGGAGUUGAUUUAGACGAUGGCAUUCAUUCUAUGCAAAUCAGGUCAUCUAGCAUAGAUUUGUCCUUUGUCUUCCUGAAAUUCAGCUUUCAUCAUGCAAUUUUCAUUUUGCAGCAACUCAAGCGGCAACGUACAUGAGGUGCAGUACCUUGAUGAAGAUGGCGCUCUAAGGUCUAUUGUUUCUCUUACAGAGCAUUGGCCACCAGUGGUUAAUAUGCCUAAUCAUGAUGCACCAUAGAGAUAAACAUGGCAAUGGCCGUGACACUUGUGUAUCUUCCUAUUCAAAUUUAUCUUUAAGUACUGUCCAAUGUAAUAUCUUAUUAUGUUCCUGGUUUGUAAUCUCCGAAUACUAUUCGACUUAGUAAUCCCUAUGUAUUUUUAGUCUUUGCUUUCCUAUACAUAAUCCAUUUAGCGAGAAGAAUCAUUUUCAAGCUCAUUUUGUUGCACCACGUAUUUAAAUGUAUUGAGCAUUUGUUCCGAACUUUGAAUAGGAAAAAACUGACUAUUAUGUUGAUCCACUUAUGAUAUUUAUUUCUGUUGAAAUAUUUUCGGUGUGAAGAUAUAACGAUGUAGAACAGAAAGACUUGUGGAGUAUGCCAGUCCAAUGUUUUUUUGGAGCUUGACAUAAUAUAUCAAUUGCUGAAGUCCCGAACUACUUUUUGAAUUUAUUUGUGAUUCCGCUAAACAUUUAAACACUAAAUUUUAAGGGCCUAGCAAUGCGGUACAGUUAUCCCACAUAAACCGCUCAAGCCAAUUCAGCGAUAUAUAAAUUAAGUGUGUCACGCGUUUUAUCAAAGCACUUGGAUUCUUUGUGAAUGAUUGUGAAGUUCAUUAGUUUCGACCUCUCAGGGGCGGAACACGCAUGAAUAAGUUUUUCUAUCCUAAGCGAUGAAGUGUGGUACACUUUUUAACAAAGUACUCAGAUAGUUAUGGAUGAUCUUAAAGUCCUUUCCAUUCGUCCUAUGAAGUGCGCAAUGUGCAUGAAUAACUUUUUGUAUUCUAAGUGUUUAGAAUAUUUCCUAAGACAUUUUGAAACCUAUACCUCAAGUGUGCCACACUCCAUUAGUUUCAUAUCAUUCCUCACACUCCAGGGCAAUUUUCCUAGAGUUAUUGAAUCGAUUUUAAUGAUGUUAGGGUGAUUCCCAAUCGAGGUCUGAAUUUUGGGCCUUUCAUUAAUAAAAAUGUGAUAGGUCCUUCGCGCAGUGUACCUUAUGUCCACACACCGCUUUAUAUGGUUUUAGAAAAUUAAUGAUGUUUUUUAAGGGCAUCCGCACCCAAUAGCCAUGAAUGGCUCGUUUCGUAUACAUUAAUCGCGCCUCGCAGUUUAGCAAAGUACUGACAUUGUUAUUGAGCCCUGUAAAGUUCUUUCAGGUCGACUUCUCAAGUGAGGAACCUGCAUUAACAACUUUUCCAGCAGAAAAGGUUGAAAUAAAGUCGACAAGCCCUUCGUGUCGAAUUAAUUAAUUGCACCACAUGCCUUUUAACAAAGUGCACAAUUUGCUACGGAUGAUCUAUCAAGUGUUGGGAAACGUUGCAUGUAAAACAAAAAAAAUCCUACUCACAGGCAAGAUCCAUCCAUGGAGAGUUGGUGAGCAUUUUCACACCCUUGAAGACCGCUAAGUAAAAGUGUUUAUUAACGCGGUUCAUGUAGUCAUACAUUAUCACGAUCCUUCCCUAUAAAAUUCCGAACACACGACACCUCUGUGUGCUGCAAACGUUCAUCUCAAUGACGUCCUCUCCUUCUUCACUGGGAAAUUAGUAGAUUUGUCCCGCAGCAAUACAGAAACUAGACGGGUGAUAUACUAGAUGGCACGGGAUUCCUUGGUUAAUAUUGAUGUGUCUUAUGUGCUAUUCCUGCCCCUAUAUUUAUAAGUUCAGCCCUGGUGGUGCCGGGGCUUGGAGUAAAAGCCUCAUCAAAGUGGCUUUUACAUGAAAGGCAGGAUUCAUUCUCUUACUGCGGGACCAGACGCCAUGGUUCCCGUUGUCUGGACCCAGACGCCACGGACCGAGGGGAUUGGCCACUUGACCCAAAGAAAGUGUUCUCGUGCCCAAACACUUAGGGAGACAUCUUAAACACCUUUGAUAUCAAACACUAUUAUCAGCUAUAUUAAUCUUUACCUCCUGAAUAUUCCGUAGUUCCUCAUCAUGACCGUGAUGUCAUCCAGAACUCCGAACAAAAUUUGUUCACCAACAUAGAUAACUCAUAUAAGACUAUAUCUUGAACAAAUGUUAAUCGUGCGGCCCCAUACGGGUUUGAACGCCACGUAGACAUUACCGAUACGCCUAUCAGUUCAAUAACAAGUAGCCGAACAUGGAUGACAACAUAUGUAAUUUCCAUUGCUAUCUUAAUUGCUCGAGAUUCGAUCGUUGGUAUCUUCAUACCUAGUUCAAACUCGUCACCGGCAAGUCUCUUUACUCGUUCUAUAAUACAUCAUCUCGUAAUUAACCCGUUAGUCACUUUGCUUGCAAGCUCCUUCUUCUGGUGUAUUACGAAGAUGGCACAACGAUACCUCUUCUUCACACGGAGUGACAAAAUCCAGACUCGACAAAUGCAAACCCAACAGACACAUUUGGAGAUACAUGUAGAGCAUCUUAAUAGUCACCGAGUUAGGCUGUGACGUUUGUUAGCACACAAGAUAUUCCUCCGGUAUUCAGGAGUUGCAUGAUCUCAUGGUCAAAGAAACAUGUAUAUGACAUUAAGAAUGAAGUAGCAAUAAACUAAACAAUCUAACGCUAUGCUAAUGGGUGAGUCUUCAUCAUCAGAUCAUCCUCCUUAUCAUAUGAAUGACCUGACCUCGUUAUCAAAUGACAACUCAUGUCUAUUGUUAGUAAAACAUCAACCAUCUUUUAUCAACUAGCUAGUCAGUUAGAAGCUCACUAUGUACACGGGAUUUGGUUAUGUAUCCAAACAUGUGUUCAAGAUUUCGGUCAAUACGAUUCUAGCAUGAAUAAAAAACCUUUCAUCAUGAUUAAGGAAAUAUAAUAAUGACAAUUUUAUUACCGCCUCUAGGGAAUAUUUCCAGCUGUCUCCCACUUUCAAAUCUAAUUAAUAUAAUAAUAAGGAAUAUAAUAAGGAAAUAUUAAUGCCCGUAGUUCCCAUCAACAUAUGACCAAUACCCAAAAGAGUUUACUAGAGUAAAAAAUCUAAUUCACAUCGCCCACCUAAAUAUUUCUAAGGUGUGAUCAUAUUUUGCUUGUGAAAGAUAGUUUUAGUCAACGGGUCUGAGACAUCUAGUCCCAUUUGUACUUUGCAAGAAUCUAUGUUUACAAUGCUCUGGAUAAGGCUACUUUAGCUAAUUGCCCCUACAUUUAUUACGUUUCCAUACUAAGACCCAAAGUGAUAUUUAUUGGUGACAAAGCUGUCAUCGACUUAACCCUUUAAGACGAACUAUUUAUCACCUCCAUAGCAGAGAAACAUCUCGUUUUUUCUUUUAGCAUAAUUUGUUGAGCGAUCUCCAGUUAUCCACCCCUGGAGCACUCUUGUAUCCCCUUGCCAGACACGUGGCAAGGCACACUUCUGGUCUGGUACACAGCAUGUCAUGUUUUAUACUCCCUCUGUCCGGUAAUACUUGUCGGAGAAAUGCAUAAAAAUGAAUGUAUCUAGAACUAAAAUACAUCUAGAUACAUCCAUUCCUCCUACCAGUGUUUCCGGACGGAGGGAGUAGAACCUAUGGAUGUGGCAGAGGGAAUCACUUUCACUAUCUCUCUAUUUUUAUGUUGUGGUUGGUCUUUGCGUCUUACUCAAUUUCACACCUUAGAACUCAGGCAAGAACUACCGAGGUCUCAAGCAGCGUUCAUUUUGAGCUCGUUCAAAAUCAUGUCAAUAUAUGUGCUCUGUGAAAGAAUUAUCAGGCGUCUUGAUAUAUCCCAAUACAUAAGUAGAUCUACCGAGGUCUUUCAUUCAAAAAGGUCUGUUAGAACAACUCUUUAUGCUUUGCAGAAAAUUAUAAUUCAGUCCUGAUAAACAAGUAUGUCAUCCACAUAUACUUCAGGAAUUGCUGUAGUGAUACCACCCAAUUUUAACAUAGGUACAGACUUCACCAUAAGUAUGUAAUAGAACAAUAUGCUUUAUGUAUAGAACAAUAUGCUUUGAUCACCUCAUCAAAGCGUAUAUUAUAUCUCAGUGAUUCUUCCACAAGACCAACAAUGGAUCGCUGAACUUGCAGAAUUACGGUGAAUCAUAUACUUUACACGUGUUCACUUGUACCCUUCGAUGAUGGUAUACUACUUAUGCGCUUACAUAUGUGUGAGCGGAGCUACAGAUUGAUCGAGUAUGAGUCCAAGAUGAAGAGAGCAACUCCACAAUCCAAGAGGUAUGCUUGGAAGCGAAGAAUGAACUGUCAAGAAGAAGGCGAGGUUCAAGCAGCACCGAUGGUAGUCCGCAAGAAGCCACGGUACAAGCCCAUGCACAUGGCCGAAUUCGUCAGUGCGCUUGAUACCGCGACCACACAUGCUUAGGUUACCCGGUUCACAAGGGCUGCCUCUAUGGAGCUGUUUGGAUUUUCCCACGUAAUCCCAAUUCUCCACUCCUUAACCGUUAGUCCCAUGGAUGUAUAAAUAGUCCUCCCCAUUCAGCAAUAGCCAAUAAUAGAUCUAAACAUUUGAGCUUAGAUCAUGUAUCUCCCUUUAUGGGAUUCAUCUUGAGAAAGAGAAGACUCCAUUGGAGUACAAGACCUCCACUUGUGGAGAAGCAUUGCCCAAUUGAAUCAUCAAGACCUCAUCUCCUAUGGGAUUUGGGAAGAACUCUACCUUGUAUCUUUCCAUUUGAUUGUUCAUGUAUCUUGUGGAUCUUGUGUGUUUGUUAGUCUAGUGGAUGUUUGAUUGAACUUGUUAUUGAGUGUUUCUCUUGUGUUUUCAUCUCUUGUUCUUGAUGGAAAAAUGCCCUAGAGGGAAUAACAAAGUUGAUAUUAUUGUAAUUCCUUAAUCAUCAUAAGGGAUUAAUAUUAAUUCCAGGAUUGUAUUGACCAGAAAUUUGAAUAUAUGUGUGAAUACAUAAACAAAUACUGUGUCCCUAGCGGGCCUCUACAAGGUUAUCUUGUUUCAAACAUAAAUGAUGAUGUUUUUUGUUAGGUCCUUUCUGAAACAUAAAUAUUCAAGUGUCGUCCUAACCGAAGUUGAGAAGUUCUUAGUGGCUUACGCAUUAAGUGCGCCUCCCUCUUUGUAGAAAGUACUACAUAAUGGUAUGAAUGGCGGUAAAGUUCUUUCCGGUUGUCAUCACAAGUGCGCAACGUUCAUUGAGAACAUUUCAAUCCGAACUGACAAAGAGGUGAAUAAGCACUUCGUGUCAUAUUAUUAAGUGCACCACAUGCCUUGGCGGAGUACUAAUGAACUUGUGUAUGCUCGAGAAAUUUGUCUAUGUAUAACAUAUGAAGUGCAGAGCAUGCAUGAAUAACCUCUCCUACCCUAAGUGAAAAUUUCAUUUGCUAAACCCUAUAUAAAGUGCGGAAUAUGAAUAAGCACUGUGCGUCAUAUAAUUAAGUGCACCACAUGCAUUAGCGAAGUACUCAAGAAGUCGCGUACGUUCGUGAAAAGGUCUAUAUGUUUGACAUAUAAAGUGCGGAAGGUAGAUGUAUAAAGUAUCUCACUCAGGCGACGGAGUUCACAUGACCUCGAAGUACUCAAGAAGCUUUGUACGCUCAUGAAAAUUUCUAUAUGUUUGACAUAUAAAGUGCGGAAGGUAGAUGGAUAAAGUGUCUCUAUCAGGCUAUGGAGUUCACAUGACCUCAAAUGCGCCACAUGUAUUUGUAAAAGUUCCGUGGAAUAUUAUGGAAAACGGUGUUUUCAUUUCUGGUCGACCUCUAAGUGCGGAAGAAUUCAAAGAUAAUUUUUUAUUAAUUAAGCCCUACGUGUGCUCCAAGUUAAGUGCGCCUUUCUUUCUGGUAAAGUAUUGAGAUUCAUAUAAAUGACGUUUCAGACAUAAAUGGCGACACUCUUUGGUUAGUCCUUCCUGGUCGACAUAUAAGUGCGAAAUUAUGCAUGAAUAAGAUUUUCAUUAAGCCCCACAUGUUGUCUAACUUAAGUGCGGCAUUCCUUCUAUUAAAAUACUAAGAUUCAUAUGGACAUUGUUAAAUUCCUUUCUGUUUGGCAACUCGAGUGUGGAACGUGCGUGAAUGAUGUUUCAAACAUAAAUGAUGAGGUUCUUUGCUAAGACCUUCUUGAAACCUAAAGAUUCUAGUGUCGUCCUAACCGUAGUUGAGAAAUUUUUAGUGACUUAUACAUUAAGUGCGCCUCCCUCUUCGUGAAAAGUACUAAGAAAGGUAGGACGGGCGGUAAAGUUCUUUCCGGUUGGCAUCUCAAGUGCAGAACGUUCAUUGACAACGUUUCAAUCCAAAAUGACAAAAAAUUGAUUCAGCACUUCAUGUCAUGUAAUUAAGUGCACCGCAUGCCUUAGCGGAAUACUUAAGAAAAUGUGUAUCCUCGAAAAAGUUCUCCAUCUAUGACAUAUGAAGUGCGCAGCAUGCAUGAAUAACUUCUCCUACCCUAAGUGGAAAAUUCAUUCGCUAAGUCCUUUAUAAAGUGUUGAACGUGAAUAAGCAGUGCGUGUCAUAUAAUUAAGUGCAAUACAUGCAUCAGCGAAGUACUCAAUAAGUUGUGUACGCUCGAGAUAGUUCUAUAUGUUUGACAUAUAAAGUGCGGGAGGCAGAUGGAUAAAGUGUAUCUCUCAGGCGAUUGUAUCUCUCAGGCGAUUGAUUUCACACGCAUGAGUGUAAGUUCCUUGUAAUAUUAUGCAAUACGGUAUUUUCAUUUAUGAUGGAACUCUAAGUGCGGAAGAAUGCACGGAUAACUUUUCCACUAAGCAUUACGUGUGUUCCACAUUAAGUGCGUCAUUCCUUCUAGUAAAGUACCGAGAUUCAUAUAGAUGUUGUUAAAGUUCUUUCUGUUCAGCAAAUCAAUUGCGAAACAUGCGUGAAUGACGUUUCAAACAUAGAUGAUGAGGUCCUUUGAUACCGCCUUUCUGGUCGACCUCUAAGUGCGACAUAUGCACAAAUAAGUUUUACAUUAAGCCCUACUUGUCGUCUAACUUAUGUGCACCAUUCCUUCCAGUAAAGUCAUAAGAUUUGUAUGGACGUUGCUAAAGUUCUUUCUCUUCGGCAACUCGGGUGCGAAUGUGCGUAUUAUGUUUCAAACAUAAAUGAUGAUGUUCUUUGCUAAGUCUUUUUUUGAAACCAAAAAGUUCAAGUGUUGUCCUAACCAAAAUUGAGAAGUUAUUAGUGGUCUAUAAAUUAAGUGUGCCUCCCUCUUUGUGGAAAAAACUAAAACAUGGUAUGAAUGGCGGUAAAGUUCUUUCCGGUUGGCAUCAAAAGUGCACAAUGUUUAUUGACAAUGUUUCAAUCCGAACUAACAAAGAGGUGAAUAAGCACUUCGUGUUAUAUAAUUAAGUGCACCACAAGCCUUGGCGGAGUAGUCAACAACUUGUGUACGCUCGAAAAAGUUCUCUGUGCAUAACAUAUGAAGUGCAGAGCGUGCAUGAAUAACUUCUCCUACCCUAAGUGGAAAAUUCAUUUGCUAAGCCCUUUAUAAAGUGCGGAGUGUGAAUAAGCGAUGUGUGUCAUAUAAUUAAGUGCACCACAUGCAUUAGCGAAGUACUCAAGAAGUCGCGUACGUUCAUGAAAACUUCUAUAUGUUUGACAUAUAAAGUGCGGAAGGUAGAUGUAUAAAGUGUCUCUUUCAGGCGAUGGAGUUCACAUGACCUCGAAAUACUCAAGAAGUUUCGUACGGUCGCGAAAAUUUCUAUAUUUUUGACAUAUAAAGUGCGGAAGGUAGAUGUAUAAAGUGUCUCUCUCAGGCGAUGGAGUUCACAUGACCUCAAAUGCGCCACACGCAGUUGUAAAAGUUCCUUGGAAUAUUAUGCAGUACGGUGUUUUCAUUUCUGGUCGACCUCUAAGUGCGGAAGAAUGCACAUAUAACUUUUCAAUUAACUAAGUCCAAUGUGUGCUCCAAAUUAAGUGCGUCAUUUUUUCUGGUAAAAUACUAAGAUUCAUAUGAAUGAUGUUUCAAUUAUAAAUGGUGAGGUUCUUUGGAUAGUCCUUCCUGGUCGACGUAUAAGUGCGAAAUUAUGUACGAAUAGGUUUUACAUUAAGCCCUACAUGUCGUCUAAUUUAAGUGCGACAUUCCUUCUAUUAAAGUACUAAGAUUCAUAUGGACAUUAUUAAAUUCCUUUCUGUUUGGCAACUCGGGUGUGGAACGUGCGUGAAUGAUGUUUCAAACAUAAAUGAUGAUGUUCUUUGCUAAGUCAUUUUUGAAACCUAAAGAUUGUAGUGUCGUCCUAACCGUAGUUGAGAAGUUCUUAGUGACUUAAACAUUAAGUGCGUCUCCCCUCUUUGAAAGUUAUUAAAACCAUCGUAGGAAGGGCAGUAAAGUUUUUUCUGAUUGGCAUCUCAAGUGCAGAACGUUCAUUGACAAUGUUUCAAUCCUAAAUGACAAAAAAUUGAUUCAACACCUUAUGUCAUAUAAUUAAGUGCACCACAUGUCUUAGCGUAGUACUCAAGAAAAUGUGUACGCUCGAAAAACUUCUCUAUGUAUGACAUAUAAAGUGGGCAACGUGCAUGAAUAACUUCUCCUACCAUAAGUGGAAAAUUCAUUCACUAAGCCCUUUAUAAAGUACGGAACGUGAGUAAGCAGUGUGUGUCAUACAAAUAAGUGCACCACAUGCAUCAGCGAAGUACUCAAUAAGUUGUGUACGCUCGAGAAAGUUCUUUAUGUUUGACAUAUAAAGUGCGGAAGGCAGAUGGAUAAAGUGUAUCUCUCAGGCCAUGGAUUUCACAUGACCUCAAAUGCGCCAUACACAUUAGUGAAGGUUCCUUAUAAUAUUAUGAAUUACGGUAUUUUCAUUUCGGGUGCAAACGUGCAUGAAUUAUGUUUCAAACAUAAAUAUGAGGUUCUUUGCUAAGUCUUUUUUUGAAACCUAAAAGUUCAAGUGUCGUCCUAACCAAAGUUGAUAAGUUAUUAGCGGUCUAUACAUUAAGUGUGCCUCCCUCUUCGUGGAAAGUACUAAAACAUGGUAUGAAUGGUGGUAAAGUUCUUUUCGGUUGGCAUCAAAAGUGCACAAUGUUUAUUGACAAUGUUUCAAUCCGAACUAACAAAGAGGUGAAUAAGCACUUCGUGUCAUAUAAUUAAGUGCACCACAUGCCUUGGCGGAGUAGUCAAGAACUUGUGUACGCUCGAAAAAGUUCUCUGUGUACAACAUAUGAAGUGCAGAGCGUGCAUCAAUAACUUCUCCUACCCUAAGUGCAAAAUUCAUUUGCUAAGCCCUUUAUAAAGUGCGAAAAGUGAAUAAGCGAUGUGUGUCAUAUAAUUAAGUGCACCACAUGCAUUAACGAAGUACUCAAGAAGUCGCGUACGUUCGUGAAAAUUUUUAUAUGUUUGGCAUAUAAAGUGCGGAAUGUAGAUGUAUAAAGUGUCUCUUUCAGGCGAUGGAGUUCACAUGACCUCGAAGUACUCAAGAAGUUUCGUACGCUCGUGAAAAUUUCUAUAUUUUUGACAUAUAAAGUGCGGAAGGUAGAUGUAUAAAGUGUCUCUCUCAGGCGAUGGAGUUCACAUGACCUCAAAUGCGCCACACGCAUUUGUAAAAGUUCCUUGGAAUAUUAUGGUGCACCACAUGCAUUAGCAAAGUACGCAAGAAGUUAUGUACGCUCGGGAUAGUUCUAUAGGUUUGACAUAUAAAGUGUGAAAGCUAGAUGGAUAAAGUUUCUCUAUCAGGCGAUGGAUUUUGCAUGACGUCAAAUGCGCAACACGCAAUUGUAAAAGUUCCUUGGAAUAUUAUGGAAUACGGUAUUUUCAGUUCUGGUCGACCUCUAAGUGCGCAAGAAUGCACAGACAACUUAUUAAGCCCUACGUGUGCUCCAAAUUAAGUGCGUCAUUCUUUAUAGUAAAGUACUGAGAUUCGUAUGGAUGUUGUUAAAGUUAUUUCUGUUUUGCAACUCGAGUGCAACAUAAAUGAUGAGGUUCUUUGGUAAGUCCUCCCUGGUCGACCUCUAAGUGCAAAGUCAUGCACUAAUAAGUUUAGAUUAAGCACUACGUGUUGUCUAACUUAAGUACGUCAUUCCUCCUAGUAAAUAACUAAGAUUCAUAUGGACGUUGUUAAAGUUUUGUAUGUUCGGCAACUCGGGCGCGGAACGUCCGUGAAUGAUGUUUCAAACAUAAAUAUUGAGGUUCUUUUCUAAGUCCUUUUUGAAACCUAAAAAUUCUAUUGUCGUCCCAACCGACGUUGAGAAGUUCUUAGUGAAUUAUACAUUAGGUGUGCCUCCCUCUUCGUGAACAGUACUACAAAAAAUGGUAUGAAGGGCAGUAAAGUUCUUUCGGGUUGGCAUCUCAAGUGCACAACGUUCAUUGACAAUGUUUCAAUCCGAAAUGACAAAAAGGUGAAUAAGCACUUCGUGUCAUUUAAUUAAGUGCACCACAUGCAUUAGCGUAGUACUCAAGAUCAUGUGUACGCACGAAAAAGUUCUCUAUGUAUGACAUAUGAAGUGUGUAGCGGCCAUGAAUAACUUCUCCUACCCUAAGUGAAAAUUUUCAUUUGCUAAGCCGUAUAUAAAAUGCGAAACGUGAAUAAGCACUGCGUGUCAUAUAAUUAAGUGCACCACAUGCAUUAGCGAAGUACUCAAGAAAAUUCUAUACAUUUGACAUAUAAAGUGCAGAAGGUAGAUGGAUAAAGUGCCUCUAUCAGGAGAUUGAUUUCGCAUGACCUUAAAUGCGCCACAUGCAUUUGUAAAAGUUCCUUUGAAUAUUAUGGAACAUGAUAUUUUCGCUUCAGGUCGACCUCUAAGUGCAGAAAAAUUCACGGAUAACGAGUCCAUUAAGCUCUAUGUGUGCUCCAAAUUAAGUGCGCCAACAUAGUAGUAGUAUAGCUUGUUGGAGUAAAACAUGUACUUUUGAUUUUAUUUAUCAAAAAUCCUAGUUCAUCGCAUGGUUUUGUUAUCAUAACUCUGUUUCAUCAAGUUUUAUUCUGAAAGUGAUAUGAGAUUUUAGCCAAGCUGUUUUUAAAUUUUUGAGCAGGCAUGUAAUUCAGGCAAUAGAUGAGCUCCCAGCCUCCUUAGACUGGCAUGGGCACAUCAAUAAGGGCAUGGAGCCCAUCAAAGAGGAGGUCGGAGCGGCGUUGGACCUGGAUCAACUCAUCUAAAUCAAGCGGCCAGCUACGGCUGGGAGUCCCCAACGCUCCACCUGGACGGCGUCGGCUGGGAGCUGCAACAGCUCCACAUGCAAUGGCUGGCCAGGGACCAGACCUCGACAGGAACGUGUUGCCCUUUGAGCCGGUGCAGAGCGACAAGUUCAUAGCAUCGUUAUAGUUUUUUGCACAAAGAUAGACCCUGUAGUACUACUGAUCAGGUGAAACACAUCGACGUGGCACUGGUACUGAACUGAAGCAACGAUUUGUUCAACAAAAUAUGAUCCAAAUAGAAAAUGAGUGGGCAUAUUAGUUUCUAUAACAAGGAAUCGUCGCCGGUUUUGUGCCAUUCAUGUGUUUUUUCCUAUAUAUAGGAUUGCUCUUUCGUUUUGGUUUGUCAAGAUUUGAAAUGGUUGUGGUGGUUAAUAUCUCUGUAGGUGUUCUUUGACCUCGAGAAUGGCAACCAGGAGCUCAAGAGCGACGUCAAGGACCUCUACAUCAACCUCGGGCAAGUAAAGACAUGUUUGAAGUGGAAAUGUAUCCAUUACAGUUAGUUGUUGUUGUCAACGAUUUUUUUGGAGAAGAACUAAUAGUAUGAUAGUGAAGUAAUCUAAUUCAAUUUCCUUUUUCAUUGCAACCACUUAAUUUCAAUCGGGUCAAAAUAAAAAAUCAAAGACAAAAUUUUUCAGCCAUAAGUAGAACACCGGAGCUAAUUGAUACACCAUUUUGAAAAUUGAUACACUGUUGCAGGGAGAGCAGCACACGCAGCGGUGGUCAAGGGCUUAGUACCUGUUGACCUCGUCCGUGGUCGCUGUUGGUCGGUGAAGGAGGCAUGCAUGAGGUGGUGCAAGGGCAUGCUGGUGACGGAGUCGCGCAUCAUGAGGCCGGGUGAGUAACGCUCGGGAACUGCCGGGCGCUCAGACUGACGCGGGAUUGGGUUGGCGCGGUGACUCAAGGAGGAGGAUGUAGUUAUGGGGGAGGGAGUGACGACGGAGGGGCUUCGAUGGCCCAACGAGACCCUACAUCAUAAUCAAGGAGGACCCUACAUCUAAAGAAAAUAGAGCAGUCUAUAUCAUUAGUCUAUUACUGGAUUUCUAGAAGAAGGAAAAAGGGAGAAAUGGUUGUUUCUGCUACUCUACAUUUGCUUUAAAAUUGGUGUACAUAUAUCAAGAAGAAGUUGGUUGCAAAAGUGAUCAAACAUAACAUUCAACACAAACACAUUGGUUUUGUAAUUAAAUGCCUAAGAUCUUAUAAUUUUGAAUUAAAUUGUUUGAUUAUACAAUCAGUUCAUAUUAUUUGGUGUAGCAUGCUGUUUAACAUUUUAGAGUUCCAUCCUUUUUAGUAACGAAAUAAUGAUGAACUCAUAUUAGUGGAUCCAUAAAAGUGUAUGCUAUUAGUUUGACGAGGUUAUAUAGCAAGGCAAUUCUUAUUUGACGAGAAUAAUGAAAAACCAAGAAGCAAAAGAAGAUAAAUUUGGAAAGAAGAGAUAAUUUUUCGCUCGAGGGUGGGGCUGUAAGGAAUCCGUGGCACGAGUAAACAAAAGCAUCUUGGUCGCCAUAUAGAAAAACAUCUUGGUUGCCUCCUCUCUAUCUCGCCCAUCUUGUUGCCAGGCAUGGAAGAGAGGAGGGAGAGCCGAGGAGCAUGGUGGCCUCUGGCUGUUGCCUGGGAAAAGGUAAAGGCCGUGGCACGACUGUCCGUCGCAAUGCCGCUGCUCCUUGCGUGCUUGUUUCCCUCCUUACACCCCCACGUCCAACUCGAUCUUUAGCUGCCGCAACGUCGUAGAUGACCAAGUCUAGCGCCCACGCCCGCCGCCAUCUUGUGAAUGGCCAACUGAUAGCCGAUGAUGGGGAAGGUUUUGAUAGUAUGAUAGUAUGAUGUGUGUUAGCUGAUUGUCAAGAAAAAGAUGUGAGUUAGUUGAGACCGCUUUAUUCUUGGUUAUUUUAGCUCCGUGAGUAGCAUCUUAAAUUUUUCCAAAAUCCCGUGGCAACGCACGGGCGUUUUACUAGUAUUAUUAGUUGCUCAAAUGAAUAUGUCUAGCACUAAAAUACAUCUAAUAUAUCUGUUUGAGCAACACAUAAUAUGAAUGGGAGGGAUUAGGUGUAAAUUGGAAGUGGCGGCCCCGGCAAGGCCUCGCUACUCGCUAAGACUACGUCCGAAACGGGGAUGACAUGGCUUGCAGCCGUGUAGCCAGUAGAGAAAGAGAAGAAACUUGAUCGACGCGAGUGGAUGGCCUUUUAGCUCCGGCUCCCACUCGGAUUAGAUAGCUACCUCGCUGGAGGUGGAAUGGAAAUAUUAUGCGGUACACAAUAUGUCAAGGCUGAGAUUUGACCCUUCGGCAAUGGAGAGAUACACUCUGGGCCCACUCAAUAUUACGGUAUCCAACAUCGUGUGGCAGGUAUAGUGACUAAGGUGUUAGUCGCGAGGAUACCGGGAUAGAGAGAUACACUAAGGAGUUUUAGAAUCAAAAUCAGGAUGUCGUAUCCCUUGUUUGUAGGAGGGUUUCUGACGAAAGGAACAAUGCUCUACUAGCCCCUUAUUUUGCCAAGGAUGUUCGUAUGGCUCUAUUUGAUAUUGGUGCUUUAAAGGUUUUGGAACUUGAUGGGCUUUAUGUAAUUUGCAAUCUGAAUUGCGACCUAUUCUCUUUCAAUGCUAUGAUUUUUUUUCCAUAAAAAAAUACUAUGAAAUUCCAUUCCCAUUAGAAUAUUCAUUGACAUGUAAAAAAGAGGAAAGCUCUAAUAUGAUAGAAAAUAAUAAUCUAUUUUAACCCAUUUGCGAGAAAGCGUGAACUAAGAGACUUGAAAUUUUGACUUGAACAAUAAGAAUUUACGAUUUGUAUAGUCGGAUUGAAAUUAGCAAGUAAAUUGGUUGUCUUAUUUUUAAUAUAAAGUAUUGCAAUAUCUAUGAAUUACAAAAUUCAUUUAAGUGAAAAAAAGUGCAUUACAGGCGUAUGAUCAUUACCCAUCAAGCAGGUUAUUCGAUUCCACCUCUAUACAUAUAAAAAAACUAAAAGAGAAUACAUAAUAAUACAGUGAAACAUUUAUAGAACACCUAUACCAAGCACACGCAAGGGAAACAUAGACGGGCAAGUGAAAUCCAAUCCACGAAAUAAUUUAAUCCAUCGAAGAUCAGUGUAUCGAUUGCUCCUAAAGAUGGGAAUGCGAAAGAAGAUGUCGAUGGAUUCUAUAGCGUGAGCAUGCGGUGCACCCCCGAGGGUCUGCUAGACCGGUUGAUGCUCCCGGCUAGUUGGCGGGCGGCUUGGUGAGGUCAUCGGAUUUCUUGGUGUGUGUGGCGAGGUUGUAAUUCCAGAGGAGUCAUUAUUACAAGGCAUAAAGAGGGAGGUCAUAAGCGCCUAUACCUUAAAAUAGUUUUUUGAUGGAUUCAGAAGACAUAUCUUGUAGAAAGUGUGUGCAUGACCAUGAGUCAUUGUGUUAUAUCUCAUCUACACCUAGUGUGAACAUUGUUUAAUAGAUUGUAGCAGCAGUAGUAGCAAUUCAUGUUGUUUCCGAUCAUAGAACAGAACGGAAGAACUUGUAUUUUGCACAAUCAUUUAGUUUCAGCUGUGUUUGUUCCAUGAUCUUAAUCAGAUUUCCAAACAUAAUAAUGAAACAUCUGUCACAUAACACGUUGUCACACUGACAAGCAGUCUGUUUAAAAAGAUAUGGAAUUCGAGGAUCAUCAUUACAUUUCCAAUACACAUCAGGACAUUGAGUUUAUGUCCGAAGUGCUUUGAUUUGUUAAGCUGCUCAUCUAAACCACGAUUCAAAUGUUCUGUUGCAUUGUGUCCUGAUGUGUCCAAGUACGCCACACUUCCCGCACUUUGGUUCUUUCCUCUGCUUCUUGUUUGAUCCGUCAUUUGUUGGGCACUUCCCAGAGUUGUGUCCCUUUCCCCUGCAAGUUUUACAAAACUUGGUUCUUGGAUUGCUCACUUCAUAGCCUGGCCUAGAUCUUGCGUUGGUAGGUCGCCCACGAUCUCUCUUGCGAGAUUCUAUCCUCAUUGAUGAUUUGAGAUUAAUGUCGCCUGCAUCAACCCCGUUGAUAUCAAUGUUUUCUUUACCUAGUAUAUCCUCUAGUCCUUUGCCAUCUUUCUCAGUUGCUUUUUCUUUGAGAUCAUCCCUUGCAUCUGACAGCCUUACCAUUGCAAGGUCGAAGGCCUCAGGGUUGCUGUCACCCAUCCUUACAAUAUCAAGAGCUGUUGUGUAAAGUGUUGUAUGCCUGAAGGUAGUUGAUUCCAGGAUAGGGCUGUGUCCCUUAUAUAUUUUCAAGUGCUCAGGUAAAUCUUCACAUGCGUUUUUAGUCCACCUCCUCAUGAUGUGCUCUUCUGGUAUCUUCGUGAAUUUCAAGUGUGCCAUUACCUGAAACAUUAGUUAGCACGUUUUAAACAGAUUCAAUAAUGAUCUUCAAAUUCUAACAUAACCUUUUAAGGAAAACAUUUUACCCGGAUCGCAUGGCAGCAGAGCAAACCCAUAUGCUCAUACAUUCCACACUCGCAUUUGAAGAUAUUCUCAGGUUGAUGCACUUUGACAUUGUAAGAUGUUUUUGACCAGCUCUCUCUCCGCUCUGCAAAAAGGUGUGUGACACAAUAUGUAUCGUUUAUGACCAGAGUGUUCUCGACGUAGUAGGAUGCAGAUUUGAAGCAUGCUUCUUGGAACUGUUUGAACAGCGCAGGUGUGUAAACCUUCGCAGCAUGCCUCUCCAUAGGCAAACCGGUCUUGAGCACUGUGCUCACCUAUAUUAAGAACAACGAAAAUUAUAGUCAGAAUUGUUUGUCCCAACAGUUAGAAAAAGUAAGCUAAUAACUUAGUAUUUAGUACAGUUAAGGCCAUUAAACACACCAAGUGGCUUUUCUUCUCAGCAAAAUUUUCUUCUGAAUCACGGUCAAACUGAAGUUUCUGGUAGUUCCUAACAAACAUGUGCAUUGAGGCACCAGCAGGUACAAAAUUCUUCAACAUGUGGUUAGCGCUCUCUGACCGUUGGGUGCUUGUCAUCCUCGCGCAGAAUACACCUGCAAAAUAUGGCUUUGCCCAUUUCUGUCGGAGCUCGUAUAUCUGUGUCAACAUUGGGUGUUCCUGAAGACCAUACUUUUGAAUCAACUUUGCCCAAGCUGCUUUGAACUCUUCUACAGUGAGCAUAUAUUCCAAUAUCUUGUGUAGUUCAUCCCUGAAAUCUUUGUUCUGUGUGUAUACAGAGCCAAGGGAUUCCUUUGCACGACGCAGCACAUGCCAUUUGCACCACCGGUGCUUCGUUCCAGGCAAUACUUCAGCAAUAGCCAACUCCAUGGCACGGCAUUGGUCUGAUAGGAAUUUUAUGGUCAGUACGUGAUAAUGAAGGUACAAGAUAAAUUACAUGUUUUGAAAUGCAUUAGGAGGCUCCAAUUAUUUACCUGUUAGGAUAGUUACCGGUGCUUUACCUCCCAUUAAUGACACAAAUUCCUUGAAUACCCACUCGAAUGAUUCUUGCUUCUCGUUCCUCAUCAUAACGCCUCCUAAUAUUAUGCUCUGGAAAUGAUGGUUGACCCCAACAAAUAGUCCGAAUGGCAUAUCGUACUGGUUUGUACGAUAUGUUGUGUCGAAUGUGAUUGCAUCGCCAAACAUUUUGUAUUGGUAUCUACUCCUUCCAUUUGUCCACAUAAGAGCCUGAAUCUUGCUGUCGCCGUCGACAAGAACACUGUCAGCAAACAUUGGGUCAUUCUUCUUAAGUUCAGAGAAGAGUUGAACUGUUUUCCUUAUGUCAUCAUCUGCAGUUUCUUGGUUCAUCCUCUUGCACAUGUACUUGAGAGCUCUCUUGUUGAAUGGUACACUCUCCAUUGAUCCAAAGAAGCUUGCCAUGACACAAAAAACCUUGGUUAUCCCAAUGUUGUUGCUCCUCAAGUGCUUGACAAUAUCUUUUGUGUGUGUGUCAAUGUUCCUGUGUGAUGGCCAAUGUAGUUUCUCGCCACACGAUGAGGACAAAUGGUGGUUGUGUUCAGAUCUAAAAUCAUGUAUAUACCAUCCAUUGUCGGCUGUGCGGUGUAGCCUGAUCAAGGCUUGGCAGUUGCAGGCUACUGACUUUGUGUUUUCUUUCUUUGGCCUUCCCUGAAAUUAUAACGGUAGCGCAACAUUAGUAUUUUUAGUGGCUAAGAAGCAUGUCAUCCAAAGAAUCACUUGAUGCUGUCUAUACUCACCGCACAGCCGCAAACGAUGUCCUGAACGGUUCUGCUCUUCUUUGCAUUUGUCCUAGAUUGACCAUAUCUGAUGCCAAACCCAAUCUCCCAAGAAUAAAGAUUAUAAAAUUCAAAUGCCUCCGCAAGUGAGUCGAACUCUCUUCCAAUCUCAGGGGCGACAACUUGUCCAGACUUCCUUUGAACAAAUUCACGCAUUGCUUUUUCGAGCGCACAGACCCUUCCCUAUUUAGGCUGCCGCUGAUCUGGUAUUUUCCCACGACGUAUCCUGACAGAAAUGAAAGUAAACUUCUCAGGGAAAGACUGAGUUAUGUGGCGAAUCUUAUCUGCAUUUUCAUGAAAGACUAAGUUUCAAUAUGAUUUUUGCAGAGCUAUUUGGAGUCCUAGAUGACCAUAAAAAGCUGUCACAACCCAUAAUUCCUCGCAUGUAAAACUAACCAUACUGCACAUACAGCAGUUACCAGUUCAUGGAGUUCUGAACUUUAUGGCUGCUCAAUGUUAUAUGAUUAACGAGAUAUGCACACAAGCUACAAAUGGUUCAGACCAAAAAGUUCAGUAUGUAACCCAGAUUAGAAUCCAAAGUCCAAAAAACAGAUUCAGUCCCAGCUUCCUCUACUGCAAUGUAAAUAUUGCAGUGAUUGGAGUUGCAUAUAGACACAGUUUCUUUCACUGAAAAAACCACCAUGUUGACUGUAAUCGCUGAUAAGUUAGUGCAGUAUGCAACUCCUUGUAAUCGGUAACCACAAAGCAUUCAACAGGAUGCAAAGGAAAAGAACAUGGAGACCUAAGCGGCAGAUGUGGUUACCUUCUCUUCCAUGGACAUUGGUCAGGACGAGAUUGGUCUGACUGAACCAGGUUUGGCUUGUUGGUUUGCUCUGACAGCGGCGACUCCAAGCAUUCAUCUCCUGACCAAGUGUAUCCAUCGAGCUCUGGCGUUGGCGAGCGGAGCUUGGCAUCGUCGUUCUCACAAUUCACCUCGCCGUCGGCCUCAUAGAUGGGGGAAGUUGGAUCUGGUAUGGUGGGAGAGGACUGAAAUUGAUCCUCGGUGUCGAUGCCGCCCCCGCAAUGGUUUCCGCCCUCCGUCCAAUCUGUCUCUCCCACAUACUCUUGUUCUUCUUGCUGGGUCCAACAGAGAUUUGGAUCUUGGGAAGGGAUGGAGGAGAAGCUGUCCGCCGGAGGGCAUGUGAGAUGAAUCGUUGAGGAACAAAGAUUUGAAUGGAUUGCCAAUGGGUUUGAGCAUACCUUAGAAGUAGUUGGGUGAACGAUCCAGGCGCGAGGACCAUCCGUGGCGGCGGCGUAUCCAUCGCCGGACGGGAGAUCUUUUGCGGAAUUCUCUCCGAAAUCUCGGAGCUCUAGUCAGGAACUGGGAGCUGUUCAAAUUUUGAAUGGUUUGCUCCUCCCAUAGGUUGGGGUCGUUUCCACAGCACAGGUAUGGGCCGCCGCUCGUAUCUGAAUACGUAUGGUAGGAAUGGUCUCUGUAUUCCUGGCGUAUUGGUUUAGGAAAAGAUGCGAGGUGGGGUCGGAGGGAAUUGCCACAUGGGCUGCGGGUCCGGCUGGUGUGGAUCCACACGCGCUCGCGAGCGGUUGGGAUAGCCGCUGUGAACGGAACGCGAAAGUAAAAGGCUUUAUCGGGUAUGUAUCUGGUGUUGAUGAAGGCGGCGUAUAUUUCAGUGAUCUCUGACACCUUGCGCACUCGACGGCUGCGACGGAUUACGCAGCUUGGUUCCUUAGGAGUGAGUCCAUGCAGCUAGCAUUGUGCUGCAAAUGCGGAGCCAAUACCGGAUUUCAGGGACGUCGUCCGCGUCGGCGUCGGCGUCAGCCACGCUGGCAGGCCGGAUGGCGGGGUGCAUAUCGGAUAGCUGAAAAAUCCACCAGCCAAUAAAAUAAGUAAGUGGCUCGCUAGUAAUUCCGGAACAUUAAUGGAGAUAAAAGGAGACAAUCUAGCAUGAAGAUUAUACAUGAAACGACGGAAAUCACAAACAAAGAAAGAAUCUCACGGGAUGCAUGGAUGGAAAUUGCAGGGCCAUACGGAAUACCUUAUUUGUUGUUGAUAAUUGCCCCAGAUCCCAUUAUUUCGGUGCAGAUGUGAUUUGGAGAGAGAGAGAUCUUUGGAUGGCAUCGAUCCAGGAAAGGCUGCGCCAUAAAAAUCGGGACAUCCGGCCAACAACUAAUCGGGUUCAAGAUUAAUUACGUUUUACUGUGCCCGAUCCGUUUAGGAAUGCACGAAUCUCAAAGAAUCUAACGGCAAUAGAGAUGUAGGUAACUACCACCUAGUGGUAGGAUGUAUUUUUCCUAUGUGUGUGUGUGUGUGUGUGUGUGUGUAUAAGAUGCACGCACAUAUGCAUUGCUUGAGUAUGUAUGCAUACUCUCUGUAAAUGUAUGUAUGCAUUACAAAAUUAAGAAAGUGAUAACAGAGCAUCUGAGUUUCCAUAUGGAACAGGGAGGGGUGGUUGUGGUUGUAACAGCAAAGUGUUUUAGCUCACUCCAGCCUUGAUCCGGCAAGAGCAUCUGAGCUUCCAUAUAUAUGAUCAUAUCUUCAAAAGGAAAAACUUCUUCCUGAAUCAAGCUAGCUCAUAUCCGGAGAGAAAAUCUUCUCCGAGAAAGAAUGUCAUGUGCAUCAGGAGAAGCUUCUUGCAGAGUCAUGCCGUGUGCAGCAGAAGAAGCUUCUUCGUCGGUAUAAAGAGAGGGGCAGCCCAUCGACUGUCACAACUCACAAGCAAGAGGAAGAACUAGAACCAAUGGAGAGGAAGAACAGGAGAGUGAAGGCUGCGGCCGUCUGCGUGCUCCUCGCCGUCCUGCUGUCGGCGCAGCAGCUGCUGGUGGCCGGCGCCGCGCCGGNNNNNNNNNNNNNNNNNNNNNNNNNNNNNNNNNNNNNNNNNNNNNNNNNNNNNNNNNNNNNNNNNNNNNNNNNNNNNNNNNNNNNNNNNNNNNNNNNNNNNNNNNNNNNNNNNNNNNNNNNNNNNNNNNNNNNNNNNNNNNNNNNNNNNNNNNNNNNNNNNNNNNNNNNNNNNNNNNNNNNNNNNNNNNNNNNNNNNNNNNNNNNNNNNNNNNNNNNNNNNNNNNNNNNNNNNNNNNNNNNNNNNNNNNNNNNNNNNNNNNNNNNNNNNNNNNNNNNNNNNNNNNNNNNNNNNNNNNNNNNNNNNNNNNNNNNNNNNNNNNNNNNNNNNNNNNNNNNNNNNNNNNNNNNNNNNNNNCUACAAGCCGCUCUGCGUCGUGGUGUGCGCCCUGGGCGGCCAGAUGGGUGGCGGCUGCCCGGGUGUCUGCGGGGAGGCCUCGGACAAUGUCUUGUAUGGUGGAAUAAACAAAUAAAUUGAUAUGGAAAAUCAUACUCCCUCCUUUCCAGUUUAUAGGGCUUAUCUCAAAUUUUUAGUUUUUUCAUUUUAUAAGGCUCAAUUUGAUUGUUCCCCAUCACAUGUUCAGACUUCAAGGUGCAUUAAAUUAUUGCAUGCAAGUAUUAAGAGAAAACUGACCAAUGCAUGCAUGCAUUGCAAUUAAUGCAUUCAUAAACGUAAUGUUUUGAGGAAAACAAAAGCAUUAAUUGGGUGCUUUUGCAAACUACAAAAAAUAUUCCACCACUCAUCAUCUAUCUUGGUUGGUGAGAUUUUUGAAUUGAGCCUUAUAAACCGGAAAGGAGGGAGUAUAUGAGAAUUUGGUUGGGUUGUCACUCGAUCGGUUUAGUGGAAUGUUACUAUGUUCUUUGUGAAAUGUUGUAGUACUACACUGAAGAGAGCUUAGUUUGAGAUGUUGUCAUACUCCCUCCGGUCCUUUUUACUUUGCAUAUAAGAAUUGUCUGAAGUUAAACUUUAUAAAGUUUGACCAUAUUUAUAUGAAAAUAUAUUAACAUCUACAAUGCUAAAUUUAUACAACAUGAAAACUAAAGUCAUGACGUAUCUAAUAUUGUUGAUCUCACAUUCUAAAUAUUAAAUUUUUUUUCUAUAAACUUGGUCAAAGUUUACGAGGCUUGACUUCAACCGGAGGGAGUAUGUGAGAGUUGUCACAGGUUUGUGAAACCAGCAAAAAAGAAAAAGAUGACCAGGUUCAGGUUUGCUCAAUUUCACCUGAUGAUUCAGGUGUAGAUGUGUGACGACCCAAGUUGUCACAGAGCGUUUUCAUCAUCACAUGGUCAUUUUAAGUUGGGGUGAGAGAGGCUCGAACUCUCGACCUCAGGAUCACUCAAGUCUUAGCUAUGAGACCUACGCGCUAGCCAACUGCGCCACCACCCCUUUGUUGUUUUCUUAGCCAAACAUCCUUGUAUGUUAAUAUCUUUGUUCAGACAAAGCAAAGGACGAUUAACCAGGCGACACAGGUCUGUGCAUACGCUGCACAAAUCGGCUGGUUCUUCCAUCGUUAAAUCCAGAGUUGAAGAAAUGGAGAAAGGAACUGCAGAAAUGCCAUCUUAAAGGGCCAGAGCUAUCAAAAUAUCGGACCUUUUUUGACACUGUCAUAGUGUAAAAAAAACUCUUGUAUUUUGAUAGAGGGAGUACUCGUGUAAAAUUAGCACAUUAUAGUCACGAAUCAGAUGUAAAAUCGACAUGGCAUUGAAAUGUCCACAGCUCAUACAAUGUGCUAACUCAAGAUAACCUGAGCAUUGGGUCACUCAUGCCACCGCAUCGAUCACAGCAGAUCCUACCACCAAGCGGAAAUAAUCCAAGUCGCGACUUAAUAUCUUAAUAAUCAAUUCGGUACAGCACUGAGCGACUGCGGCUCGUCUUUGCGCUGAUACAGAUAGAACUAACUGUGCGCUUACGUGCGCAGCAGCUAUGUCCGGGCCGAAUCUUCCGUAAACAAGAACAGAAAUUGGCACUAGUAAACUAGUAGGUAGAUCAGGUAGGCAACAUAACUACAGGUUUCCAUACAGAACCAAUGGUGUGCUUACAAAAUAUCAUCAACGGGCGACUGCAGCAGAACCCUUCACGUCGAACGGAGAUCCCAACGGCGCGAUCAGGCCCAGGCUCUGCAUGAUCUUGAUCUGGCGCACGCUACGCUGCUCCGAUCCCCCCGCGCCCCUGCUCUGGUGGAGUUUGGUCAAAUCAGUGUCCGAAAUUCAUUCAGACAAUCGAUUCAGAAGAAUGGAGUGUCUACUUACAGGAGAAGAGUUGGGGUCCUUGGUCUCCGGCUUUGCCGCCUUGCCCUUUCUAGGUUUCUUCUUCGCAGCACGGCUUGAGUCAGCCUCCAGCCCACUAGCGGCCCGCUUGGUGCUUAGUCCACCCUCUGUCUCAGUAGUAGUAGCAGCAGUCGCCUUUGCCUCGGUAGCUUCACAGAUUCCAAAGAUCACUUCAUCCACAUAUGCCAUUUCAGCAGCAAGCUGCCUGUCUAUGACGUCCCCCAGCAGUAUAUCCCUGACCAUAGCUUUUAUCUUCCGGUGGGUUCCUUCGACCGUCAAACCAGUUUUGUGCUGGCUUCGAUUCACGGAUGUCAUGUCUCCUGCUUCAGCUGCAUUUUCACUUGCGCUUGAAACAUGGAGCUGUGAUGUGCUGUCCUCCGCCGCAUCUGAAUGUUCCUUCAGAUUGGUACGGCCCGACCGCUUUGAGGAUCCUUCCUUUUUGGCCACCGAUGUUCCUGAUGAUGCCUUCUUACCACUCUUUUUAUCUCGCACAGCAGAAGCUUGCUUGGGUGUCUUAUCUCUUAAACCUUCAGCAGAAUCUAUACUCAAAGCUUUGUCAAGAGCACUUGCUUGCCUCACACCUUUCUGCUUUUUUCCUUUCUGAGCAGCACCUCCACCUUCUGCAUUGCUCCGAACUUCUUGGUCCUGCUCUAAGGCUUCUUGCUUUCUGACUUUCUUAGUAGACGUCUUGGCUGUGGCCAAUAUGGUCAGACCAUAUGAAAAAUAGAGAAUUAGAUGCGUAGCAAUUAAAAAUAUAUAUGUGUGUACCAUUGAUAGCAAGGCGACUUGAAACUUGACAGGGAAAUAAAACCGCACAGGUGAUAAUUUAGCAAUACUGUCACUGAUACUGCUCCUAGAACAUGUUACCUAAUCACACCAUUGUGAAAAGAUUCACAAACGGUAACAUAUCACUGUUAACAUAAAUCACUAAUGAAAAAGGGAUAACAUGAAUGGUCAAACCACAAGGACCACCAUGAUCAAUGCACAUAACGUGUUUUUCUGCAUAUAUUCUCCAGCCAAGAAAAAACAGAAAUUCACCUUUUGUGUUGACAGCUUCCUCCUCGUCAUCACUGGCCGACUUAAAAUGAGAGAGCUCCUGCAUUUGUAAGAUUAAACAUGGAUCUCAACAACCUCCACCAAACUGUGAUUCAUAAUAUGUUCAAAGCGAAGGCGAGAUUGCCCUACCUUCUGAAGCACCUCAUGGAAUGCUUCCAUGGCUGUCUUAUUUUCUUUCUUCAGAAACUGCAUACAAUGAGCUCAUAUGAGAAAUAUUUAAAAUUCAAAAUGCUCAGGGUUGGAUAUCAUUCAUGCGUGAGAAGACAAAAACAACUAAUUUUCUUGGAAGUUAAAUAACAAAAAGCAGUUUAUAGUUUAUACACCAGAAUCAUUUACCAUAAAAUUACUACAACUCUACAAGCAGCACAUAAGUAGUGACGCUGGGUGAGGAUUCGAUUGAUAUGACCGGUUUAGGUAGAAAAAAACAAAUAGGGCAAUUAUUAACUAGAAAAAUAUUCAUUCAAUCAGCUAUUAGUUUAUUAGUUAUGCAACAACAACAACAACAAAGCCUUUAGUCCCAAACAAGUUGGGGUAGGCUAGAGGUGAAACCCAUAAGAUCUCGCAACCAACUCAUGGCUCUGGCACAUGGAUAGCAAGCUUCCACGCACCCCUGUCCAUAGCUAGCUCUUUGGUGAUACUCCAAUCCUUCAGGUCUCUCUUAACGGACUCCUCCCAUGUCAAAUUCGGUCUACCCCGCCCUCUCUUGACAUUCUCCGCACGCUUUAGCUGUCCGCUAUGCACUGGAGCUUCUGGAGGCCUGCGCUGAAUAUGACCAAACCAUCUCAGACGAUGUUGGACAAGCUUCUCCUCAAUUGGUGCUACCCCAACUCUAUCUCGUAUAUCAUCAUUCCGGACUCGAUCCUUCCUCAUGUGGCCACACAUCCAUCUCAACAUACGCAUCUCCGCCACACCUAACUGUUGAACAUGUCGCCUUUUAGUCGGCCAACACUCCGCGCCAUACAAUAUUGCGGGUCGAACCGCCGUCCUGUAGAAUUUGCCUUUUAGCUUUUGUGGCACUCUCUUGUCACAGAGAAUGCCAGAAGCUUGGCGCCACUUCAUCCAUCCGGCUUUGAUUCGAUGGUUCACAUCUUCAUCAAUACCCCCAUCCUCCUGCAACAUUGACCCCAAAUACCGAAAGGUGUCCUUCCGAGGUACCACCUGGCCAUCAAGGCUAACCUCCUCCUCACACCUAGUAGUACUGAAACCGCACAUCAUGUACUCGGUUUUAGUUCUACUAAGCCUAAACCCUUUCGAUUCCAAGGUUUGUCUCCAUAACUCUAACUUCCUAUUUACCCCCGUCCGACUAUCGUCAACUAGCACCACAUCAUCCGCAAAGAGCAUACACCAUGGGAUAUCUCCUUGUAUAUCCCUUGUGACCUCAUCCAUCACCAAUGCAAAAAGAUAAGGGCUCAAAGCUGACCCCUGAUGCAGUCCUAUCUUAAUCGGGAAGUCAUCGGUGUCGACAUCACUUGUUCGAACACUUGUCACAACAUUAUCAUACAUGUCCUUGAUGAGGGUAAUGUACUUUGCUGGGACUUUGUGUUUCUCCAAGGCCCACCACAUGACAUUCCGCGGUAUCUUAUCAUAGGCCUUCUCCAAGUCAAUGAACACCAUAUGCAAGUCCUUCUUUUGCUCCCUAUAUCUCUCCAUAAGUUGUCGUACCAAGAAAAUGGCUUCCAUGGUCGACCUCCCAGGCAUGAAACCAAACUGAUUUUUGGUCACGCUUGUCAUUCUUCUUAAGCGGUGCUCAAUGACUCUCUCCCAUAGCUUCAUUGUAUGGCUCAUCAGCUUAAUUCCACGGUAAUUAGUACAACUCUGAACAUCCCCCUUGUUCUUGAAGAUUGGUACUAAUAUACUCCAUCUCCAUUCUUCUGGCAUCUUGUUUGCCCGAAAAAUGAGGUUGAAAAGCUUGGUUAGCCAUACUAUUGCUAUGUCCCCGAGACCUUUCCACACCUCAAUGGGGAUACAAUCCGGGCCCAUCGCCUUGCCUCCUUUCAUCCUUUUUAAAGCCUCCUUCACCUCAGACUCUUGGAUUCGCCGCACAAAACGCAUGCUGGUCUCAUCAAAGGAGUCGUCUAGUUCAAUGGUAGAACUCUCAUUCUCCCCAUUGAACAGCUUGUCGAAGUACUCCCGCCAUCUAUGCUUAAUCUCCUCGUCCUUCACCAAGAGUUGGCAUGCACCGUCCUUGAUGCAUUUGACUUGGCCAAUGUCCCUCGUCUUCCUCUCUCGAAUCUUGGCCAUCUUAUAGAUGUCCCUUUCACCUUCCUUCGUGCCUAACCGUUGGUAGAGGUCCUCAUAUGCCCGACCCCUUGCUUCACCAACAGCUCGCUUUGCGGCCUUCUUCGCCAUCUUGUACUUCUCUAUGUUGUCUGCACUCCUAUCCAGGUAUAGGCAACAAUGAUAAAAUAAAAUACAUGCUUUACCUGUACAAUCCUAAAACAUAUAUGUGUGAGUCGUGCUAUUGGUACAUUCUGUUAGUUAGAACAAAGCAUAUUACAAUUCAGAACAAUUGUUAGAAUUUCAUUAUCAACAUAUGCAAUAUUAUAUAAUUUAUCAAGUGUGUGCGAAUAUAUGUCCGUCAGUUCAGCCUUUUGGUUAUAUCAGCUUCCUGCAGUUAAAAACCUAGGGAAACCAAAAUUGCAAUAAUGAUUGAAGUUGUUGGUUAUUUUCGUGUUUCAGCUGAUUUAAGCUUCUUUAAUACAGUUCAGUCAGUUACCACUACUCCAUAUUAGCAUCCUCAUGAGCUGUAGGAUAGAAGAUGUGCAUACCAUUUCGAAUUCCAUGUUAGACUUCCAAGGGUCAACAUACAAGCUGAAAAUAAAAUAGUGAAGACAAUUACCUUUAUUGUAAAGAUUAUCAGUUGAUCGCCACUAGAAAGAAAAGAAAGGCUUCACAUGUUAUUAGGACCCUUACUCUAGGCAUGUGCCAUACAGUCGAACCAGAGCGUCAUGGCUGGUCUUCUUCUUGGCCUUGCUACUGGCACAUGCUUCAUCAAUGACCUUGAAUUCAGAAACAGAAGUGGUCUAAAUAUGUGCAUGGGAAGCUAGGAUGAAGAACAUAACAGUUGGGGAAAGUCUGAAAUGUUUUGUCUUUGCAACAUACAAGUACAAAGGUUGUGGCAUUGGCACUUGAGACUUGACCAAACUAUCUUACUCAUACAUGAUAUAUAUAAUUGAUCUACUACAGAUGCAACCAUCUGCCAGCGUUCAAUUUAAGCUGAUGUGCAAUGCAACAAGCAUAUUCACUGGCAUCUAGAAUUAUUUUAGAACCAUACUGGCAUUGAGUGCAGCAAAAAAAUGGUUCAACAUGUUGGGGUAAUCUAAAUUGCUGAUCCGUAGCAAAGCAAAGGUAUUUAGCUAAUUGAAGUAUGAAGUGCUCAGAAGGUGUAUGCAUCAUACCUGGGCUGGCCACCAUGAGGAGCCAUCAUGCUUAACCCAUGUUAUAUCUCCUAAACAGAAAUUCUGCCUUGGGUUAUUUUCUGAGGGUUCAGGACUUGAUGUGCAUGCAGCCAUACGACCAUAACUUUUCUCUGCACUUUUCCUCACCAUAAUGACCAAUUCAGACCUGCAACAGCAUUAAACAAGAAAUAUUAGUAUUGAUAUUGCCCACUCUUACUGCUUGUUAGCUUGACAGAAAGCUAUUCGACCAAAAGAUCAACUUAAAUUCACUGUUAUAAAAAGCAGUCGUGUAGCCUGACUAAGUGUUUGGCUCCAGCAACUGCCCACCUGGCACCUAACACCUGAAAUCAUCUUACUCAAACAAGGCUACAGCUCAUUCCGUGGUAUGGUUGAAUAUACGAUAUACCAACAUCAGUUUUGACGAUGCUAUAGCCACCAAAAUAUAGAGAGCAAGUGGCCUUAAUUUUUUACCAGAAUGUUGGUGUAGGUUUUGAAUAUGUGGCCAGAUGGCGGUGUUAUGAAGACUAGUAAGAUGCUGGGCAAGGAAUGGAGGUAUUAUGAAAGACUGGUACGAUACAGAGACGUUUCAAAUCAGUUCUCUCAGACGACAAUGUAAAACAAAACUGCAUCUGAAUCGGUUAUCUCAGAAAUAUGUUGCAUCGCCAACGCAAACAGCACUAAAACGGUGUAGUAUGAUGCACACCAUCACUGCCGUGUGACAUGUGCAAUUAUGCAAUUAGCGAACCAGAGCAUCAGACUGGAUCUGGAGAUCUCAAAUGGGAUGUGGCCUUACUCUCAGUCUCUCACCGAAGCUUAAGCAGUUAUUCAGUAUCAUUAUAUCCCUAAAAAGCACUUGCUCAGUGAAUUAAAGGGGGGUGCAGGAACAAAACUCGUCAAAUAAAUCAGGUGCAGACUUUUGCACUCUGAAGUUCGCUGGAUUUGAGUAUAUGCCCUCGUCCAGCAGUCUCUUGAUAAAAUGCAUGGAAGCUGAAUGUGCUUCUCAUGAUUUGCCCUGAGGGAUGUGUUUUCAACGAAAAAUCAACAAGAUGCCGCACAUUUAUUUGCAAUUUGACACAAAUGACGCAUGUACAGGUGGCCCCAGGCCCCCACAUGUCAGACAAAGGCGUGUCACUUUGUCAAAUUCCUCGUUCUUCACAUAACAAAAUCAAUUAACCCCUUCACUCAAAAAAAAAUCAAUUAAUCCUUUUUACCCGGCCAAGGAAAAGGCAACUUUGGCCCUUCUUUCCGUUGCUCCAGCACACAGCAUAGAUAGAUAGACAGGAGGCGGCGAGCUUUCGCUGUUUGCACUUGCACGUGCACGGCGCGCCCUGGGGUAAUGGCUCGACCGAUGCCAGCAAAAAUCGAUUAGUCCGCACAUAAUGUGGUCCGUCGCGCCUCUCCCCUCCCAAAUUCCCCCUCGAAAGCAGCCCUAUCUCGUCUCGCGAACAAAACCUAGGGUUCGCUCGUACGACGCAAAAUCGGGGGCCAAAACCUACGAUCUGGCAAGCGGAUGCGACGAGCGGCGAGACGGUGCGGGGAUGACCUCGCUGGCAGCCGCCGCCCUGGGUCUCAGCCGGUCGCCGGGCUGGAUGGGGGCGUGCUGCUCCUGCAGCGAAAAGAGGGGGAGCGGGUGGGCGCGGCGAGCAGGGAGGGGGCGGGAGAAGAAUGCAGAGGGGGCGGGGCGAAGGGAAGCACCUCGCUGCAGGAUGCCGCGCGGUCGCCGGCCGGAGUGGUGGAGCAGGCUGCCCCGCUCCCUGGCGACGGCGAGGCUGAGCUGGGUGGAGAGGUCGAGGGUUCGAGUGUGAAUGGAGAGGCGAGCUGGGGGAGCUCGGGUUUGAUUAUUGCCUUGGGGGGCAAAUGGGUCUUUUUGGUUUCAUUCACACUCUCGAGUCUCGAGUGUGGGGCCGGCGGGCAGGCUGGCAUCGCAAGGCAGCUAAAUUAUUUCUUCUCGACGACUAACCCUCUCACGGCAUCUACAGCGGGUUUUGUCAAACCCGGCCCCGGUCGUGGACACAACCACACAUCUCAAAUUCAAACAACCCUCAAAACAAAAUUCUCAAAUUCAAACUCACAAAUUAAUGCAAAUCCAUGCAUGUGCAUCAUACACGUGAAAUGUCGUAUCAUUGUAGCUCCAUGAAAUAAUUUUCCAACGAGUUUGGAACACUCCGAAUGCCCUCUUCACAUCCUUCCUAACUGCCUCUUGCAUUUUUUGUAAAGUAACUUUGUUUGUUGCCUUGAGUUCGGAUAUGGUUUUCACAAAUGCCACCCUCUGAGGAUACAUGCAAUCGAUAAGACGGUACCCCCAUGUUUGUAGUCGCGGCGUUGAUAGUGUAGUUGCAUGGCGGCGAUUCUCCCUUACAAUGUCUCCUGGACACAGAGAUCGCUGAAGCACAUUGAUAUCGUUGUGAGAACGUGACAUUUCAAAGAACCAGUCCUCGGAUGAGGAUGAUUUUAUUGCUUGGCAGUAUGAGAAGAGUGGUUUGUUCACAGUAAAAAGUGCAUAUAAUCCGGCACUUAGUCUCAAGGAGGGGAAGGAGGAGCAAGUGCAAUCUAGUGGAGACACGAAUGGGGAUAGGAAACUUUGGAAUGUCAUUUGGAAAGCCAAUGUCCCCCAAAAGAUCAGAACUUUUGUGUGGCGGGCGGCUUCUAAUAACCUAGUGGCACAGGUUAAUAGAGUUAAGCACCAUCAGGCUACUUCUGAAUUAUGCUCUAUUUGUGGUAUGGAGGAUGAAAGUAUGUUUCAUGCUUUGGUGACAUAUCCUAAGGUGAGUGCUCUGCACAUAGAGUUGAGGGGAGUGUGGAAUAUUCCCAGAGAAGAAGUGUUUAAGUGCUCAGGACCCGAUUGGAUGCUUAUCUUGUUGGACCAAUUAACCACUACUGUUCGUGAGCUUGUUCAUAUUCUGGAGAGCUUGACACUUACAUAAUGAUCUUAUUUUUGCCAAAGGGAAAGAAUUUGUUUCAAACUCGGCUAAUUUUGUGGAUAAUCAUUGGGCGACAUUUUUCAUCUUGCCAUCAUGCAAAAACUGCCACAUGAGUCAAAGGUAAGGGAUCAGAGGUGGGGUUGCAGUCUCGUACUUAUCCACCGAGUAUNNNNNNNNNNNNNNNNNNNNNNNNNNNNNNNNNNNNNNNNNNNNNNNNNNNNNNNNNNNNNNNNNNNNNNNNNNNNNNNNNNNNNNNNNNNNNNNNNNNNNNNNNNNNNNNNNNNNNNNNNNNNNNNNNNNNNNNNNNNNNNNNNNNNNNNNNNNNNNNNNNNNNNNNNNNNNNNNNNNNNNNNNNNNNNNNNNNNNNNNNNNNNNNNNNNNNNNNNNNNNNNNNNNNNNNNNNNNNNNNNNNNNNNNNNNNNNNNNNNNNNNNNNNNNNNNNNNNNNNNNNNNNNNNNNNNNNNNNNNNNNNNNNNNNNNNNGUGUACUAGUGUUGAUGAAGUGGAACUCAGGGCAUGUCUAGCGGGACUAUAUACCGAUAUCACUCUCCAUAAGCCUGUUGUUUUGGAAACAGACUGCCCUUUUGUGUUUUCUUUUCUUCCACAUGAUAACCUUGAUAGAUCAGCUCUGGUGGAUCUCAAGAAGGAAGCCUUAGCCCUUACCAAGCUUCUUCCAAAUGUUAAGGUGGUGAAGAUCAAAAGACAUGCAAACGAGGUGGCUCAUCAGAUAACUAAGUUUAGUUUUGAUAAUAGGUCGGGUGGCCUUCUAUGUAAUAGUUUUCCGCCCUGCGUAGCGAAUGUUGUAAUGAACGAUUGUACUCGAUCUUUUAAUUAAUUAAUACAUGGGUUUUUCAAAAAAAACAUGCCAAAUCCAUAAGUCAUGUGAUGCCAUUGCUUCCAAUGUGAUGAUGGUGGCCUCUUUGGUGUGAUCUUGGUACGUCCCGCUCAAACCUUUAGGGCGGUUCUUCCAUUGCCAAUUACAUGCAAUUUGAACCGAGCAUACCUGAAAACCUCUUGCCUUCCGAAUAGCCAACAACUUUCCUAUAUCCUACACAUUUAGUUCUCUCGUAUACUCUAGUACAAACACAUGCACCACGGUGCGAGCAAACUUGACCGUGGUCUUUAGGCAUAUGCCCUUCCCCAUCCAAACCAUCUUACAAACGGCAUCAGCGGCGGUACCGAAUGGAAGCAUCGUCCGCAACCGUGCAUUUCUGCUUAGUAGAGAAUGAUAGUUGUCUGCAACAAUCCCUGGUGAGCUUGAAGUAGGGAUCAAGUGCCUCCACUCCCUCCCUUUGAUUGAACCCUUAAAGUUGAGAAUGCGCUCCACCUCCCAGUCCAUUUUCUGUUGGAUGCUCAUGAUCAUGAUAUCUCGGCUUUCUCGUCAUUUUGAAUCAUUUCAUCAAGCUAUACCUGUCCAUACUCCUCGUCCGAUGAACCCCCUGAAUCCAUCGUUUUGCAUGGGAGCAGGUGAGAUCUAAUUCAAAAUACAACUUUCAACUCUAGUGAUUACCAGAAUUGAAUACUUAAAUUCUCCCCUUUGAGGUGGUCCCCGAUGCGGAGUCUAGAUAGGAGGAAGAUGGUACAUCCAUAAGGAAUGGUGGUGAGGGAAGAAGUGCAUAACGACGACACAUAAGGGAUGAAGAAAAAAUUAGUGCUUGUGUUGAUGAUUUUGUUAACAAUGAAAUUUUGAAUACUCUAGUUAUCAAGGUUAAUCUUGAAGAUGCCAUUUGUUGGACUCACACUCCUAAUUCAGAAUGUACAAGAAAAAGUGCAUACAUAACUUUUGUGUAGGUGAUCCAAGAUAGGUCUUUGUGAAGACAAGCUCUUACUUCGGAUUAAGAAAGUGUUAUCCUCAAUCAUGCUGCGAAAAACAAAACCAUGGCCCCUAGGGUCAAAACUUUUGCUUGGAGGCUUAUUAGGAGAGUUGUUGCAAUAUGAUUAAGAUCUUCUAUGUAUUCUAAUCAUACCAACAGAAAAUGUUGUAGAUGUAGUUAAAUAGAAUCUGAUAUUAACCUUUUCUUUCAAUGCAAUUUCUCUAGAUCAAUCUGGUUUAAAUUUGACCUCAAAACUGAUAUGCUGAACUCCAAUUCAUAUUUUGUUGAUAUCAUUCAAAUGAUCGUGUCUUCUCAGCAAUAUGAGUUAAAACUAGAUAUUGUUUUCACUGUUCUUUGGAACAUAUGGAGAGCCAAAAAUUAUCUCCAUUUCAAUAAAAGAAAAGGAGUCCUAUGCAAGUUCUCCAUGAUACAUACACAAUACUUACUGCGGGUUUAAUAGAGGAGAAGAGGGAAAGGAAUAUAUCUCAUGAAAAUAACAAUUAUUAUUCUCUCCUAAAUACAACUAUGCAUAUACAAUCUAAUCUACAGGUACUGUAGCAUAUGUGGACGCAACCUUUCGUUGGCUGAGAAUGAAGCCUCCUUCGAAGUAUAUCUCAACAAUACACGCACCAAGCACACCAUAUGCAUUCAUGCAGCGGCAACAAAUGUGCAAUAUGUUUUGCAGGCUGAAGCGAUGGCCUUACUUCCUACCUCGGCAACCAAUGCAUUGGGCUGCAGUUUUGCUUCUUUCUAUUCUAAUUGCAGGACUUUGGUCGACGCUGCGGAAUCAAGGAAUCUUCUUGUUAAAUUAUGACAUUAUUUCUUGUCUCGGGUCCUCCAAGUGCUCCACAGUCCUAGGCCCUAGAAUCACUUUGCUCAGGCUCUAGCUAAGAGAGCCUUCUCAAACAAAUUUACUUUGCUCAUGAGUUCAAAAAUGGCAAUUGAGGUCAUCUCAUUUCCCUUCGAGAAACUACCUUUGGUGUACUACCCUUUGCCAAAAAAAUCUUUUACAAAUGCUAAACAGUUCAAAUGUAAAAGUUGGCAAGGAUUUUUGUGAGUAAAUCUGUUCGAUUGUGAUGCUUAAACAAUUAUAUCAAAAUGAUAUGUAGGAAAGAACAACCAAUCUAUUUUGAAGAUUUUCAGGUUAGAACGCAAAUCUAGUGUAAAUGCAUGUUGUGAUUUUCCUAAUAAAAAUGAAGAUACUGCAUACACACACCUACCAACUAUAAAUGCAUAUUGACCUCAGAAAACAAAAAGCUAUAAAUGCAUACUAUUGGAAAUCAACCAUGCUAUGCUAGGAUAACCACUAAGAGCAAGUAUAAUAAGGUGACGUAAACGGCUAUAAGAAUUUAAAUAUUAUGUUUUUGCUAAGUUGAAAGAGAGAAGAGAAGUGGACUGUAGAUGCACUGCCGGCUUCAGCACGACUCCAAUAAGUUCUCUGAGAGUGAAAGAUUGGUCAUAUGUUAAUAAAUUAGUACUUCCUUAUAGUCAACUACUAUACAUAUUGGCUAUUAGACUACCCACAGUGGGAGUAACAUAGAUAGUAACAUCACACAUAUCUAGGUUAAAUAAAUGAUGUGGCAUUGUAAUAAAUGAAAAAAGAGAUGAAAAUGGUAUAGUUACUACUAGUAUGAGUAACAUUACACAUAUCAAGGCAAGAUGUAUCUACAACCUAAUAAAUGAAAUGUUGCAUGUUACCACACAUAUGUUACUACCCACUAUAGAGGUAGUAACAUAGACUACUCACAUGAGCAUGUUACUGCCCAUUGUGGCUUGUCUUAUAUUAGCUAGCGAAGUGAGCAUAGCUUGGAUGGUUAGGUUUUUUGUGGUACAACCAACCCAUCAAGAUUAAAUCCUAGACAUUGGUGGUCACAUCUUCCUAUAUUUAUUUCACGCCUUCCGAUUGAAGUUGCUCAUAAAGAUAGAGUGUGCAUAUGUACAUUUAUAGAGAAACGUUGGCUAUAAAUGACAUGAUACUCCAAUCGCAGGGUCAUGUUAAGUGCAAUGCUACAUGUAAUAACAGUGACAACCAUAAUUAAUCGUAGGUUCUUCCAAGCAUUUGAUCGAUGGUAGAUACUUCCCCUAGCUAUAGCUAUGGAAAUAGUAUUUCAAGUCGAGGUAUCACAUGUCAAUGAAAAUCGAAACUGCAGUUAAAACCAUGGCCAAAGCCUCAUAACCUGGUGAACAAGACAAUGGAACAUCCCAUAUAAUUAUAAUGUGUGGCUACUACAUACAACAGCAGCCGCAGGCACAUAUUCAGCAACGCUUGAUGUUCACGUUGCCAGCCUAAGAAACAAAACUCUCAACGCCGGAAGGUAACCAAGCAACGCAACUCAUCGGUUGACUGUCGUCGUAUUCUCGGUGCAGUUUUAUUACAAAAAGCAACAAUAACAUCCAUUCGGUGUGGCUUACAGCACCUGCCGUCACUUGAAAAGAAAAAUCACAGAUCGGUCACCCCAAGGGUUAUCAUCAAUCAGGGACCUAG
RNAcentral lists this long non-coding RNA (51133 nucleotides) under Triticum aestivum (bread wheat). Its description in RNAcentral is "long non-coding RNA (TAES_LNC009879)". The stretch from base 20639 to 20763 matches the Rfam family "MIR1120/MIR1122 microRNA precursor family". The record is from RNAcentral. Lineage: Eukaryota; Viridiplantae; Streptophyta; Magnoliopsida; Poales; Poaceae.